AUGUGGCUUCGUUUGGGAUUGCGGGGAGAUUGUAUUACAUGCGGUGAAAAAGUACGUUGAAAAAAUAUUCUAUUUCUUUACAUAUCGCAUAUCGCGAUAAGUCGGUUACGAUAUAUUUUCUGCAGUUUUUUCGGAGAAUGCAGAAGUAUAUUUCUAUAUGCUUUUAUUCCAACUUUUUUUAUCUAAUAGCAUUUAGAUGACUCUAAUACUAAACUAAGCCUGCAUCUCUCUAAUUCUAUUUGUUUUCCCCGAAUGAUCUGUGGAUGUAAUUGAAGCGAUUAGAUGGAGUUUCUUAUUUUUGCGACACUGUUGGUUAGUUGCUUUUAGCCUGGGAAUUACCUAGAAAAACCAGCAACUGAACAAUGUGGUGAAAAUAAAGCAUAAUAAAUAGCAAAUGCUUACUUGAUUUUCUGUUGAAUUUUAUUUUUGUCAUGAAACAUUAUGUUGGAAGGGUGGAAGACAUAGAGCUGCUUUUCUUCUUGUGCGUGAAGUCUCGUCUCAUUGUUGUGAGGUUGUUUCUGAAAUCUGACGAUGAAAAUAACCGUUCUCGUCUUCCGCCCGCUCUGGGGUUGUGUGCUGCUUAAAUGACUGGGUGGACUUCUGUUGCGAAUUCUGUGUGUUAUUUGAUGGUAUUUCUUUUUGUUUAAUUAUACUAGUUUUAUAGCAGGUCAUUGGGAAAUUCAGAUCAAAAGCUUUUCGAAUUAGAGUAAAAGAGUUUCUUGUAGCGCUUUGUUGGAGUCGUUUUCAGUGUUGCUCUAGGCUUUGUUUCACUGCACUUCAUGAAACAGCCCGAUUAGCAUCAAGUUCAUAGAAAUUAUGGUUUUGAGCGGAUCAUGUCAUUUGAGAUUCGGAGACUUUCUGACGGCGAACGCAUUCGGGGAUAACAUUACGAGAUAUUUUAGCGAAGUUGCUUACGUGUUCAAAAGGAUAAAUGCUUGCCGCUCCUUCCGGACGCUUCGCUUCGCUUCGCUUCUCUCUAAUUCUUAGGGAUAAUUACUACUUUCUGCUCUAAAAUUUUUACUGCAAACAUGUAGUAUCUUUUCAUCAUUCACAAAGCCUCAAGUAUCUUUUCAUCAUCAUCAUCAUCAUCAUUAUUAUUAUUAUUAUUAUUAUUAUUAUUUUUGCUUCACGUGAUAUUUCUCUUCUUUAACUAUGCUAGGCGCCGCAAAUUUCAUGACAUGUUUCAGACCGGAGUUUGGCAGAUCCAGCGCGAGCAUUAUUCCGAUAAAUUUCAAAGAACAGGAGUUGGAACAUAACCGCCGUUUGGAUAAUUAUUUUCGUAUAUAACAUUCUCCAUAUUUUAUUUUCUAUUAGGAAUUUGAAUGUUUAUGAGUUAAAUUUACUGUUUAGAUUUGGAAACCGAUUAUAUAUAUAUAUAUAUAUAUAUAUAUAUAUAUAUAUAUAUANUAUAACAUUCUCCAUAUUUUAUUUUCUAUUAGGAAUUUGAAUGUUUAUGAGUUAAAUUUAUUGUUUAGAUUUGGAAACCGAUUAUAUAUAUAUAUAAAGUUUGGAGACCAUCACCCUUCUUUUCCCCUUUUGUCUAGUUUUGAAAAUACUUAAACCUUUUUCCUCCCUUGGUUGGUACCCAAGAUUCCAAUUUCGAAUUCUAUUUAAUUCAUAUUUCUGGCUAAGUUUAUUUCUAAAUAAAAUAAACGAAGCAGGUAGCAUGCAUGCUAUCUAUCUCUCAAAAAAAAGAAAAAUAGCAAAAACAUAUGUGCAAUGCACCAAACUUAACAAAACUUAAAUUUAAUUAUUUUAUAAAAUAAAAUAAAUAUAAAUAGCUGUAAAUUUAGAAAAAAAAAAAUACAGUAACAGCAGUAACAUGUCAUUCCUUUUUGUUAGAAAUUUUUUUACAUUUCUAACAUAUCAUUUUCUAUAUCUAAAUGUCCAUUUUUAUAUUUGAGUCAUAAAAUAUAUAUAUAUAGCAGCUAUUUUUAAUAAAAAACAUAAGAGCUGAUGCAUAUAAAAAAAAACAAGGACUCUAAUGAAAAAUUUAAAAAUAACAAAAAAUAUAAAAAUAAUAAGCAAUAAACAUAGAAAUGAAAUGAAAUAAAAUAAAAUGAAUGAGAGCCUUCAUAAGAGAGGUGGCAAAUAAUACAAUGGAAAGAAUGCUAGAUAUAGUUUUAGCUCAUUUUGGUUACUCUUUGAAUUGUGAUGUGUGAACCAAACAUUUACGACCAUUACAAUAAUUUCUUAAUGCUAUUUUAUUUUUAAUUCUAAUUUACAAAAUUUGAAAUGUUAUGAUGAGAUAUAGUAAUUUCUUUUUAUGGCAUAGUGAAACUGAAAUGAAAGGGGAAAAGUCAAAUAAAAUAAAAUGAUUGCAUACAGAUUUGCCUAUCUCAAUAAAUGCGCAGAAACAACUAAAGAUUAAAAACGUAUAACAUUAAUACUCGAAUGGUCAAUAAGAAAAAAUAUUAGUUCUUAUCUGAUAACCUAAUAAAAUCAAGGCAAAACUGCUCCUUAUAAAUUAAAGAUUAAUUUACCUCAUAUAUGUGUAUAUAAUCGAGUUUUCUGCUGUUAGAUUUAUCAUUUGAUCAUUUUCACCUGUUAGAUUAAUUAUAUUAUUCAACCAACCACUCACUCAAUUCUAGAGGACCGCUAUCAUUUUAACCGUAUAUUUUUUCAUCGAACGGCCGAAAACUCGAUAGUAUCAAAAUGUUUGAUACUAUCGAUAGUAUAGUAACAUUAUAUAUAUAUAUAUAUAUAUAUAUAUAUAUAUAUAUAUAUUAGCCACACGUAUGUUAUAGUAUAUAUAUUUCGAGGUCAAGUUUGACACAGUAGUAAGGUUGUUUUACCAUGACUUAAGUGUCAUGGGAUGAAUCAUGGAAACAAUUAAUUAACAUCUCUAUGUGGGAUAGGGUUGUGUCAUUCAAUCCUGAUCUCAAAAUGAACUCAAUGGUGGAAGAGCAAUAAUAUAUACAAUAUUCAUGCAACGAAUUGAUCUUACUAAGAUUUAAAUUAACCAUGCGUUCUCUGUAUCAGAACUACAUAUAUUCCAAAAAAGGAAAAAAAAAAAACAUNACGUAAAGUAAUUUUACAUCUUAAACUAAUGUAGUAAUAUGUUAGUAUAUAUAUAUGCAGAACUUGAUUACAUCAUUAUACAAUCAUAAAUAAAUGCUAAAUUGUAAAUUGUACCAUUUUUAAUUUGCCAUAUUGAAAAAGAAAUCAAACAUAUGCAUGGAAUAACAAUAUUGGCCACUUUGCCCCGUUUGUUUCAUCAAAGUGACCUUUGGAUUGAAACGAAUUUUGAAUUGAAUUAGAGUAUAGAUGAAAAUUGCUUUUCCCCAUUGUUUAUUUUAUAGCUAUGUAAAUAAAGUUUCUCAAGUCCUGACAUUUGUCUGGCAAAAGGUUAAUGACUUAAAAACUAUUAUUUAUACAUAAAUAAUAAAUUAUAAUAUAAUAAAUAAGAAAUUAUAUAAUUGUAUACCUAUAUGUAAAAAUAUAAUCUAAAACAACUCAAUUAAUUUUCUUAUACAUAAACUAUAAUAAUGCAACAACAAAAUUAUAGAGUAGAAUAAAUAUUAAUAUUCAACUAAUCAAUUUUUAUUAUAUUUUAUAUGUACAAACUAAAUAAAAGAGAUAUUAAAACUUAACUAAUCAAUUUUAGUCAUAUUUUAAACAUGCAAACUAAAUAAAAAGUAAUUACAAUCAUAAUUAAUUAUAUUUAAAUAUAGGUAGCAUUAUCUAUUAUUUUUUUUUUUUCAACUUUUUCCAUUGUUAUUGACUUUGAUUAGUUGUGCUGUUUUGAAUAAUUUGAAUUUUGAUUAUUUUUUUUAUUAAUGAAAACAAUUUUAGCGUUCUCGGCAUUCACCCAAACAUAGAUAAAUCUCUUUAGAUAAAAUUAGCCCCAACAUUUUCCUAAUAAAACAGUAACUCUCCACUCUGUAUCUCUUUCCUCUUUUCUAUAUACAUAUAUAUAGCAUGGAGAAAAGAAAUAAGUGUAGAUUACUACUCCAAAGAAAAGAGUUAGAGUAGAUUACUAGUUAGUUCAAAACUGGAAUGCUAUAUAUGUCUAUUUUUUCUAAAUAAAGUCCUCAUUAUCUACAUUGCAUCACUGUAUAUAUAUGGACGCAAAAUAUGAUCUCCAAAAUGUAAAAAGCCUCUCCAUAUUUUCUCUAUAGCCUAUAAUGGAAAAUAAAAAGAAGGGGAAAAUGAAAAGCACAUAGUAAGAAGCUAUCUAUAAAAAAACACCCAGAAAAGAGACGUAAAGCGCAAGACAUAAGAGUGUUAAGGAUACGAGCGAGAAAAAGCUUACCAAAAAGGAGAGCACCAAGUAGGUCCCCGAAACCCUAAACCUCGCACCUCAUUUCGAAAACCCGAACCGGAGAAACUGGAAAAGUAGGCGUACCUCAGUUGCGAACGUCGUCGUCGUCGUCGGCGGCGGCGGCGGGGGGGAGGAGUAGCGGAGGCGGGCGGUGGCGCUCCGCCGAGCAGCGCAGCGACGCCACCUGCUCCGCCGAGAAGACGCAGACGCCGCGGGCGUAGAGCCUGUCCUGGACGACGGGCGAGUUGACGAGCACCUGGAGCAGCUGUUGCCGGUUCAGCCGGCCCAGCGCCGCCGCUGGACAGGGCAGCGAGCCGGGCGGCUCGCGCGGCGGGGCGAAGCGGGCCGAGCGCUCCGGCAUGGUCUGGAGCGCCGUGACCUGCGCCUCGAGGAAGCGCACGUACUUGUUCGCCUCCUCCAGCAGCGUCGCCGUGUCCAUCUUCCGCUCCCACGGCAUCAGCCCCCGCAGGAUCCUCGUGCGGUCGCUGAUGCUCUUCCUCCUCCGCCGCGAGAUCUCGCUCGGCGGUGGCCUCGGGAAGCCGGUCGAUCGCAGAGGAGGAGGCGGCGGCGGCGGCGGCUGUGGCGGAGGAGGAGGGGGAGGAUCGGAGAAGGAACGCUCCGGGAGGCGCUUCUUGGAGGGGCCAAUCAGUGAGAUCAGAUCCCCGGAGAAGCGCGGCGGAUCCGGGGCCUCCGCCACCAGAUCCGGCGGCGGUUCGAGCGAUCGGAGGCCGGGGAGGUGGUGGAACGCUGCGGAUCCCGCGGACAAAGCGAUCGCGCUUCGGUCGUCGAUCGCGAGGGGCUCGAUCUUCGGGAACUUGAGCUUGAGGCGUGAAUCCUGGGCGGAGGGGAGGCUCCCGAUGGGGUUGCUCCCAUGAAAUACAUCAAGGUCGUGGACGACGUUGCCGGAGCUGAGCCACUCCAUCGGCGGAUACGGCGCCGGAGCGAUUCCGAGCUGAGGAGGAGGAGGAAGGAGACCGCCGUAGCAGUCCAAGGCGUAGAGGGGUAGGGUUUCGGCGACGACGGGGUACAUGCUCCGCCACUCCGCGGAGUCUGUGGGGCCGGAGAGGGAGGGCGAGAUGAGAAGUUGAGGGAGCUCUCUAUCCAUUAAUGGAGCUCACCCUCUCUCCCUCGUCGAAAUCUCUAGAAGCUCCGAGAGAGUGCGGGUAAAGCAGGGAGAGGAAGAGGAAGAAGAAGCGGAGGUAGAAGAUGAGUGAGAUGAAACGAUGCCGCGUCUUAAUAAGGAGAAAUGAAAUAAAAAAAAUCAUACCUACUUUUGGUGCACCAUGUCGCGUCAUGAACCAUCCUCUACGAGCGACUGUAGAGAAUAGAGAGGGCUAAAAGCAUUUGCGGUUCACGGAAGAUCUUCUGCACCAAGUGCAGAUAAUAAAUAUUACUAGUGUCCGCCCAAGAGGCGGACACGUGUAAUGACACUAUUGGUCGAGUCUCUCCUGCUGAGAACGUAGCGUCGUUAUGCCGGUUCGGACGGUGGGACCCGCACGGUCCCGAGUGAUUCCAACGUAAAGAGUGACGCGCACGUGCCGGUCGGGCUCCCGGUCGAACCAGUCACCCCAUUCCCGCGCUCUUUGAAAACAAGUUAUCACCUGCACCCGGUUCAGUCGUACAUCCGUAGACCGGAAUGCUAUCCACCAUCCAUCCUUCAAGUUUUUGGAUGUUCAAAUUUUGGACGGUUAGAUUGAAAGGAGCUGGUGGAAUGGACAGUAGACGAUGACUAGGUUCACGGUAGUAUUGUGCACCUGCUGCGGUGGUGUAGUUCGAUCGCAAAUACUUUAAAUGAACUCUAACCGUUCGAUUUUGGUUUCGGUGGUACAAUUGUUCGAUCGAACGGUCAAGAGUAGAGAAAACAACACUUGGCCGCGGUUGUGACGGGCGUGCGCUUCGCACGUGCGGGGCGCUGGAAAGCGAUGGCGAAGGUGACGUUUCUGGCGAUGCCCGACAACGUCAGGCCCGGUCCCCUUGUACAGUACCUCUCGGCUAUCACAAAAUAACGAUAAUGCCCUGUGGAUGAUACUGGUGCACAUUUAGUGUAGUGUAGGAGGGAAAAGGAUCUGUGGCACUUUUGUUAAUUUGGGAUAUUUUAGGGCUCUUUGUUAGGAAGGUGCCGUGGAAUUGCGCACGUGCGAGUUGUUGCUUCUUACGUUCCAGGUUGGGUAACCGUAGCAUUUUCAGGUUUCGGAAUUGGACAAAGAUAGGGCUUUAAUAACGAAAAUACCCUGAGAUAAAUGAAUUGAAUUUAAACUUCUCUGGGGUACUACCUGGUGUACCCCAGAAUUGUCAAAUUCAAAAAUUUAACCUCAUCAUGAUUCCUUUCAAAAUUUUCACUGCAUAAAUAAUCAAUUAUUUCAAAUCAACCUUCCUGGUGAAAUUUCAUCAAAAUUUUAUCACAAUUUUCAGCAUCUACCUGUCAAAUGACAAAAAAAAGGGGAAAAAAUAUCAAAACCUCCUAACUUUAGCCAACUUACAGUGCACUAUUUUUUUUUUUUUUUGAGAAAAUAUAGCAUGCUACUUGCUUCAUUCAUAAAAAGGAUGAAUUAAGCAUCAAGGGUGAGGAAGUAAACCUCUGUCAAAUAGAGAAUGAAAAAAAAAUAAAAAAAUAGUACAGUAAGAAACACUAAAAUAUUAAGAAAUGUCGUUUGCGCGAAAGAGAUUCCUUCCACUAGGUCAUGAACCACUUAAUCUUAUCCAUUGCCAUCAGUGAAUCAGCAUUAGCCUUUCAAAAUAUGAUAAUGUUCCUUGCGUUUCAAAUGACCCACCAACAAGUCGACAGACCAGUCAGUCCCUCGACUGAACCCCCUUCCACUACCAUUGUGAUAAAAAAAUCUACUAACCAUGCAUUGCGUAAAUAAGUGGUUCACAGUCUCUAAUUCAACACAACAUAGAUCUUGAUUUUUAGAAUUGCUUGUCCUUAGCUAUACUAUAAAUUACCACUUGGAGUUUAAAAUUUUGAAUAUGUGAAAAGUAAAAAAUAUAUUUUAUUACGUGCUGUGCAGGUGUUGGCAUGAUUUAGCUAUUCGAAAAAAUAAAAUAAAAUUAAGCCAUGUGAUUUAUUAAUUAAAAAUGAAUCAGUUAUUUAGAUGAUAGGGCUAAUAAUUGGGCCAGAGGAGGCUCUUGGGCUAUUUUUGGGUUUUUUGGGCUUUUUCAGAAGAUCCCAAUAUCUCCGACCAAAUUGAUUAUAGCCCAAUUAUCUCCGACCACUCGGAACCUCGGAGGCCGGAGAACAAUGGCGGAGUUAGGGUUCCACCUCGGGUUUCGCCUCGCUCCCUCUCCUUCGAUCGCCACUUGUUCCUCGGCAACGACGUUCAUGGUAUACUCAUCGAUUCAUUUGGGGUUUUCUUUUCAAUCUCAUCAAAUUCCCCAUAGAUUGUUUCGUCUUCUCCUUAUUAUGAUCGUGAUUCGGUGCGGAUUUCGUUUAAUUCGAAGCUCCUUCUCUGAUUCAGAGCGGAAGGGGUCGAGAUAUGCGUCGGUCAAGCGAUCGAUCAAUGUAUGGAACCUUAACUGAUCCCCCUUUUUUUUUAAAGUUGUUUUUGAAAUUGUCUUAAAGUGAUAUGCGAUCGCUAAAUUGAGGUUAGUGAAUUCCAGUGGAAAAAUGAACUUGUUAUGCGAUUAUAUCUUGUGUUUGUGUUAAUCAAUUCGUUCUAUGAGCUUACUUUCGUAGUUUAGUUUAUGAGCAGAGCUAGUUUGAAUUGAUUCAGAUGGUACAGUGAGGGAGUAAAUAAAGCUUGAAGCUAAAAGCAAGCAUUAUAUUAUAUUUAGAUUUAGCAUUUGGAGCUGCUUCAGGCAAAAAAAAAUGAGGUAGGGUUGGUAACAUGUUGUAGGCAGAAGGAGCAAGAGAUUAGUGGAGAAAAGCAUGAAGAAGGGAGGAUUGUAAAGAAAUUAAAUCAAAUGUUGUUAGAGUUAGAGUAUAAGAAAUUCUGAAAUUCUAAAACAAUUAUCUUAUGUUGUCCCAUAUAUAGUUUUUACAGCUGUUUCAUGUGUUUCAAGUUCACCUUCAAAGUUAUUUUUCAUAUGGUUAAUGAUAGUGGGUGGAUAUGGAUAAUUAGAAAAAGAUCAAGUGAUAAAAUCAAGCUUAAGUUUAAAGUUUUAUUCUCUCCUAACACUCAAACUCAUUUUAUAUAUGUUCAAAAUUGCCCAAUUUUUACUUAUUCUAAAUUUAACAACCAACUUAAGACAAGGUAUGAUGCGGAAGAAUAUUGAAAGUAUUAAUCUCCAGCAAUGUGUCUGCAUCAAUUCCCUUUGGUUUUAAUAUGAUAUUCAUGCGCUAUAUAGAGUGCUCCUUUUUUAUGGGCUUUUGUAUUUGGAUAAAACUUUUCUGGUCGGAUGUUUAUGUGUCAGCAUAUAGCACUAUUUAAGACAUUAGCUUCCCUUGAUUCAUCGCAGAAUAUUAAAGAAGCCAACCAGAAAAGAGCACCAUUUAUGGAUGAAGAGAGAUUCAACUGGGUCUGGGCAAAAGGCCCUCAAUCUUGUAAAUACAGUAAGAUACUAAACAUUUUUUUUUUUAAAAAAAAAAAGCAAAACUGUGUUGUGAAUUAUAUAUCCUAUGUAAAUAUGUAUGUAUAUUGCCAUGCCUAACAGGUGUGCUAUACGAGCAACGGAAGAGGUAGGGUCUGAACUACUUCUAAACUUUUGGACCCUCUAAAACAUAAUAGUGGGUGCUUUUGGGCCAAUGCAUUUACAAGCUAGUCCUUAGUGCUCUGCCCAACAUAGACAAGAAUAGCAGGCAUUAUUGCUAUGUUAUCUUCCAAAAGCUUAUAGAAAGAAAGUUGCCUUUCUCCUGCUCUAUACAACAUGUGCCCUUGGUUUCAUUAUGUUUUGUUGCAGUUGGUUUUUAACAUCAUCAAUAAGUUUCUUAUGAAAAGGAACAAAAGAAAUCAACUUUUCUUUCUAAAACAGUUUUGAAAAUGUUUAUGCUAGGUUUCAAAACUUCCAAAUGACAAAGAAGUCAUCUAUGGAGCAUUGGAUAGGUGGACUGCUUGGGAGACUGAGUUUCCAGUUAUUGCUGCUGCAAAAGCUUUAGAAAUCUUGAGAAGACGAAGUCAAUGGUUGCGGAUCAUCCAGGUGUGAAAUUUUCUGUCCUAAGGUUAAUCAAUUGUUCUGUUUCAACAGCAUGAAUGACCAUCAAUAUUUAAGCCAUAAAGAGGUUUAAAAGCCUUUUAUCGAAGAUUACAAACAUGUUUAUUAGUAUGAGGCAUUGAAAAGAGCUGAAAGAAAAUCAACAUAUCUGUUAACGGAGAACAUACUGAUCUCUCUUUAUGCAUUGUGUCUAGUAACGAACAUACUGAUCUCUCUUUAUGCAUUGUGUCUAGGUUACUAAGUGGUUGUUGAACAAAGGCCAAGUACUCACAUUGGGAACAUAUGAUACACUGCUACUAGCCUUCAAUAUGGAAGGGAGGAUAGAUGAGGCUGAGUCUAUUUGGAACGUAGUUAUACAAACUCAUACACGUUCGGUUUCAAAAAGGUUGUUCUCUCGCAUGAUCUCCAUGUAUGAUCAUCAUCAUCUACCAGAAAAAAUAUUGGAGGUAAUUAUCUCGUACAAUGAAGAGAAUAGCUAAACAGCUAUCCAAGUUAAUUAUAUAAUCAUACUUCCUAAUCAGCAUUGGCCUUGUUUGGCAAAUUUUAGAUAUCAAUGUGAAUCAAUGUAGUGCCAGGUGAGCGGAGUGAACUUGGAUAGAUUACUUAGCUGUGCAUCAUAACCCAUUCACAAAAUCUUAACAGCCCCUAUGAAAUUUAGUUGUCUCGCCGUUCUUUAUCAGGUGAACUUUUUAACUCAGGAUAAUCUGUAAAAUUUACAUUUGUGAACUUUAGCGGCAAAUUUCAGGUAUUUGCGGACAUGGAGGAGCUCGGCGUGAACCCCGAUGAGGACACCGCGAGGAGGAUCGGGAGAGCUUUUGCGAAGCUAGGGCAGGUCGACAAGCAGAAGCUGGUGCUAGAGAAGUAUUUAAGCAAAUGGAAGUACAUCCAUUUUAAUGGGGAACGCGUUCGCGUGCAGAGAACACACCAUUUGGUUGAGUAGUCCUUUUCGAUCAAUGCAGUGGAUCCUCAAAUUCAAGAACGGGGAAGAUCUUCUGGAUUUCACUGGUUUUUCCCAUCAGUUUUCACGUCGAUCCGAGGACCUCUAAAUUUGUGAGAGGUUCCAAUUUUGAUCAACGGGUUCGCAUUGGGAAGGAAAUUCCUGCUCUCAGGUAGUAUAUCUUUUUUCUUGCAGAGCUUUUCCUUUUCAUCAAAUGAUAGUUAAAUUACAUAAUUAUUUUUACAUGAUGAUAAUUUAUAAGAAAAGAGAAUAUAUGUGCAAUAAUGGAGCAACGAACAGAAGCGCUAUACUAUUCUAUUAGAACAAGAAAGUUGUGGGAGGAAAUGACGGCGCCAUUGGUGGGAUUGGGACUCCAUAAUGCCUGAAAAACCAAUAAAUAAAUAAAUAAACAGGAUCAAAUUUCUUGUGGAAAGAGGGCUAAUAUAGGAGGAAUUAAUUACUCUGGAUAAGCAAUAGAAAUAGAAUAUCCAAAGGGAUGGUGUUGUAGAUGAUUCGUUCCCCAAAAAUAGAAUAUCCAAAGAGAUUGUUUGGUUUGGUCAAGCACGAAACAACUUCAUUAAAAAUUAGGAACUUACUGGCCGGCAAAGUUAUCUGUUAAGCAGCUGUUCGCAUUGGAGAGUUAUCCAAAUAUACAAACAAUCCUUUUGGAUUAUUUAUUUAUUUUUUUUAAUAUGCCUCCAUAUAAUAAAGUACUGAGGAAGGAUAAAAGGUUUUUAAGCUAUAGAACUCGUAAAGUUUUUUUUUUAUCUAUAGAAAAUACUAAAAGAUCAAAACAAGGAUGGAAAAUUAUUCAUAUUCUUUUAAAAAAAAAAGAAAUUGUUUGAAAGGCUGGUUCAACAUCAUCAGUUAUGGUGAGAGCACUCGUUAGCCCCGCUAAAUGUGGUCGUGUAAGAGAAAUUGCAUGAUCAAUAGUUACAAAAUUUUUAUAAAUAAAUUAAAAUUUGAAGACUAAGGUGCUAAGGGGACAUAUGUCACCGAAAAUAGUCGCCAUCGGUGUGACUCGUCGCCGAUCUAAUCCUCCUCUUCUCCACCCCGCCCCUCCUCUUCUUCGCCGCCUCCUGCACACGAUGCUGCGGCGGUAGGACGGAUCUCUCGGAGAUUGCAGCAAGCGAUGACUUCCAAUUAUGUGUCGUUGCCGACGCUGUGCGCAGCGCUCUCUUCCUCACCAUUUCCAGCGCCACUGCCUCCGCCGCGCGUGCCGUGCUCUUAGCCUGGCCCGGCCACACGGCGCUCCACCAGCAGGGCAUGAUGGGAAUUCCCCAAUAUUUAUGAAUUGGCCACUAGGAAGCAAUACCCGAAUGCCUCUCCGAUUGCUUGUUUAUAUUGCCCCCAAACGCUCUAGCAUCACCAUUGAAGCCCUCGAUCACAGUGGAAUCACAGGAUUUACUACUUAAAGAUCACCGUUGAUUGAAAAUCAUACGGUGCGUGUUCCCUCAGAAUUAGUGAAGAGUACACAACGACGAGAUAGGGGUUGACUAUUAGGGGCAAUGGGUGGCCAAGUUGAAUGUUUUGAUAGUCCUACGUUGAUCGAAAAUCAUACGGUGCGUGUUCCCUCAGAAUUAGUUAAGAGUACACAACGACGAGAUAGGGGUUGACUAUUUGGAACAAUGGGUGGCCAAGUUGAAUGGUUUCCUAUUGGGUGGGCGGUUUCGAUUUUGAUAGUUUUGGCCCAGGAAAUUAAAUUUUUAGCUAAAAAGAUAUAAACAUCUAAUCCAAAUUUAUAUUAAUUUUUAGUAAUUAAAUUUGUAAAUUAUUUCUGGUAAAAUUUAAAUUAUAUGCUUAGCGACUCGGAGGAGUCCGAAGGGGAUCACAAGAAAUUGAAAUUAUGGAAUCUUUUCGGAUCAAAUUGCACCCAAAAACAAAAAAAAAAAAAAACAAUUCUGAUAAUAUGGAAUCUGGUCGAAUUAAAUUCACUGCACGAAAAUGGGAUUAAAAACUCCAAUUGUACAGGAAAAAAAAAUGAAGAAAAAAAAGAGAAAAAAGUACAAUUCUGAUAAUUUAUGUGGGUUUGCACGUCAAAAUUCUGGGAACAAUAUUUUUCCACUUCAUACACUUCGCAAAUUGAAAACACUAAACACGGCCUUCGGCGUCGCCGUAAAUCAUUUUGAAAACUUAUCUCCCAGAAGAACUAAAACAUCAGUUUUAGUAACUAAACAGUAUAUAAUGACUCGCAACUAACAGAAUCCAAACAGUAACACAUUGAACCAUGAUAAAUCACAUGAGAGAGAUAAGUUCUUAAACAAAAAUACCUUCGCAGAGUUCAUAAAUUAUACUGAUAUUGUUCCAGCCGAAAAGUAAGAGAAUUUAAUGCUCUCCCAUGCCAAAAAAAAAAAAAAAAAAAAAAAAAGGGUACCGCAACUUCUUAAGCAUUUAAUAGUGAUCAAUUUCAUUAGGUUUGUAUUCAAAAUUUGACCAUCAAGAGAUUUCAACCUUCUACAUAAUAGCUAGUUCUCUCCAUAAGAAAUGUAUCACACAUAAAUCUUAGGUCAAGUAAUUUAGAUAAUGAAUACCAAACACUUAACACUAUGACUCCAUAAGGCUUUACUGAUAAGCAGAUACAGAAGCCCCUGUUGCUUGGGGAGGCUGAGGAGCUUCUCGAGGUCUCGCAUACUCGGCAAAUAUAACCCAACCAUCAAGAAACUGCACAAAAACAAAGAACGUGAAAACAAAAAAGCACGCAAAAUUCACGCAAUUUGUUUUCUGUUCCUUGAUUAUAACCUCCUAAAUCUAAAACACACAUUUUUGUUCUUUCUCAUGAUGAAAAGAGCAAUUCCUAAGUACAUAACCAAUCGGCUAUGGCUUAAAACUAGCUUUCAAUAGUUUUAUUGCUUGAUUCUACAAUUAUCACCGUGUUCAAGCAGCAUGUUGAGACCUAUGGCUAGGAUGCUGUAUAGAUUUGUUAAAAAUGCUGUGAACAAAGGACUUGAUUGCUUAAUCUUACCGAUUCUUUUACAUCAUAGGCGUUGCACGAGCCAUAUGAUACUCACAUGCUUAAUUUCUACAUAUACAUUAUAUAUGAGGUGGUGCAAAAUUCAAGCAAAAUGUUUCCGAUAAUUAUAGAGGAUCUGAGAUUAUUACAAAAACAUGAUGAAUAAUACUCACCUUCCCAUCCAUGCCCUUAAUGCCUGCUUCCGCCUCUUCAAUUGAGGCAUAUCUCACAAAACCGAACCCCCUAGAAUAACCUGACACUCUGUCGGUGAUCACUCUCGCUGCAAAAGGACACAACUUGGUCGUAAUGAUAAUCAACGAAUUCAAAGAAGAGAGGCUCCAAAGGAAAGUUAAUACCAUCGACAAUUUGACCGAAUUUUGCAAAGGUUUCUCUAAGCGUCUCCGAUGUCGUACGCUUGUUGAGCCCUGCGUAUUGAUUAUCGUUAAUAUUGAAUGGAGUAAAAUCUACUAAAGCAAAGAUAAGGGUUUUUCAGUGGCUUGUAAAAUGACAAGUGAAAAGUGGAAUAAUUUGCUUUCACAAUAUAACAUAAAAUAUGAGAGAGUGUGUUCUACAACCCUCAAAAGGUCUAACAUAUUAAAAAUUAUAAUUUUGAUAACCUUUUUUUUUUCUCUCUCUGGUAAACAACAAUAGAUCAGUGACACAAUUGAUUUUUGCGCAGGUAAUUGUAGUUUUUUUUUUUUUCUUUUUUUAACAAGCCAUUUAGAGAUUACAGAUCACGUCUAAUUCUUUUCACAUCUAUAUUUUAAGCCUCCUCAGGAAAAUAAUUUUCUUCUCUUAGGGGAGUAAAAAAGAUCAAAUUUGUGCGAUAAAAUCUAGAGAGUGAACGAAAAAGAAAAACCCAAUUAAUGAGAUCAAAAGAUGUUCAAACUCGCAUCAAAAUUACAAUUUUUUUUUCUCUUUUAUGCAUGAACACACAUAAGGGGUCAAUCCGUAGGCUUCAAAAUCGCAGCAAAAUUACAUCUUUUCUUCUUUUACGCACUCAAAAACAGAGGCGAUCGAAACUUAAGUACGUAGAAAAAGCAACAAAUCCACUGAGAAAAAAAGGGCGAUAAGCCUAAAACAAAAUGGGCGAGGAAUUGAUUAUACCCGAGACGAAGAGAUUCGUUGAGGGUUCUACCGCCGGACGAGCGGCGGCGGGGGGCGGCGGCGCGAACGCCGAGAUGGAGAAGAGUCGCCGGAACCCUAAUCUCGCCGCCGCCGCCGCCAUUGUUCUCGAACUUUCGCAGGAGUUCUCGUUGUUGAAUGGGGGGCGAGGGUUUUAUUAUGGCGAGGGUUGUGAAACUUUUACACAAAAGACCAUGUAGAUUACGAUAAUUACAGCUGUGUCUCCGGAUCUUUUUAAAAUAUUGCUAUUAAAAUUCUCUUUUUUUAAUAAAAAUACAAAUAAAUUGAUCCGACAUUAGUAAAUACAUUAAUUAAAUCUGAUCAUUAGUUACUAACUAAAUUUAAAUUAUAUUUAAUAAAUUCUAUACGUCUCAAAAAAAAAUUUAAUAUGUUAAAUUACAUGAAACACAAAGUAAAAAGUUAUUAUUUGCACCAAUAAGACCAAAUAAAGGGAAAGAAAAAACAGCUGAAAAUUAAUCUAGAAAAAAAAAAACUUAAACAAUUUUUGUUUAUACCUAAUCUAUUUAAACCUUAAAAAAACUUAUAUAUUCUACAUAAAAAAAUUCUUAUUCUACACCAAAAUAUUUCAAGAGCUAAAAUGCCUCUGAGUUCUUCAUAAUUUUUUAGUUCCGGUCGAAACACGCAGAGUUCUCCAUAAUCUUUUAAUCCUUCCAUAAUCGAUCGAAACACGUAGAAAGGAACGGAAAAACGAAAAAAUUUUAGAUAUCAAUCGUUCGGUGUACUCCAUAAGUUUCAGAAACCAAUUUCUUGUAGAUCGCAAAAGUUCUUCGGUUUUCUUCAUUAAGCUUUCUUCGUUCUCCUCAGCUUCGUGGUCGGGUUCGGGUUCGUUCUCAAUCUCAAUAAUUGUAUUUGAAUCGAAUGAUGCACCAGUAUCCUGCAUGUAAAGCCAAUAUCGCGAAAAUUAAACUUAAUUGUUAGAGAAAUGCGAUCAUAAACAGCUAUGCAAAUAAAACGAAAACAAUUGCAAAACCUGAUCAGUGCAUGAUGAAAUAGUAGAGCUAACAAUUUGUGUAUUUUCCGAUGAAGAAGCUUCCAAAUCUUCAGGAACAUCGAUGGUUACACUAUUGCUCGUAGUUGGAACGUCGUAUGACCUGAAAAUUAAUCGUUGAAUCUUAGUGCAUAUAUCGAUAAAAUACUUACACAAUAAACUUGCAAAACUUUUCAUUUACAUUUGUAUGUAAAUAGUCACGAAAUCACCUUUUGGCGCCUCCUUCAACUUCUGUCGUGGCGCCUCCUUCCACUUCUGUCGUGGUCUGUUCUUUCUCAACGAGCGGAGAAUGCCUGAUAGGGAUAAAGAAAUGCCUCAACACAGAUGAAAACUUCGUACUUGAUUGCACCUCUGUGUCUUUUUCUUUAUUACAAUCUUCUUCGAUGAACUCCCAAUCUUCUAAACCGCGCUCUAACAACAUAUGUCUAAAGGCGACGUCUCCUUCCAUCUUUCCGACUCAAAACACUUCAAGUUCUAAAACCACUUGAGUUACUAAGUUUGAAAAAGUAAUCUAAAAUCAAAUUUGUCCAAAUUAAAUUAUUUUUUCAACAUUACAAAAUAAUGUGAGCGUGCCGGAGUGGUUAUCGGGCAUGACUAGAAAUCAUGUGGGCUCUGCCCGCGCAGGUUCGAAUCCUGCCGCUCACGAAGGUUUUUUUUAAAAUUUUUUAUUUUGAAAUUUAAAAUAAAUUAUUUAAGGCAAAAACUUAAUACUUUAUAAAAAAAAAAACUAUAAUACAUACAUAAAACAAUUUAAGCUCAAAAGGUAUAAGUGCAAAAUAAAUUAAAUUUUGCCUAAUUGAUUAUAUACAAGUGAUAUUUUAGACAAUAAUAUUUUAUCAAAGAUGCAAAAAAAUAAAAAUACUGCAGCUUAAAUAUGUUGGAGAAAAUUCAAAAUCUCUAAAUUUCAUAUUUUAAAAUAUUAAUUUAUUUAUUUUUAUUAUUAUUAUUUUUUAAGCGAACGUCCGCACGCACUGUGCACGCGCGGACGUUACGCAUGCUCGCGCUAUUUGUCCGCAUGGAAUCCAUGCGGACAUUCAUGUGGGUGCUAAUUAAAAGGGCUAAUUAAGAAAAUGUUAACGUUGGGAAUACCAACGUUAAGUUUUCUCAUUCCCCUGUAUAUAUAUUUAUAUACACUUGUUCUACUGUUCAUAGAUAUAUGAACACCGUGGAAAAACAACAAGUGAAAAGAGGGUUUUAAUUUAAGUUUUUUUAUCAAUUGUUUAUUUACUUGAUUUCUUUAUCAUCGGGUGUUGAAAGAGUCUCCGUCAACCUCCUUCACGAUCGUGCUCGCAGGAGGAGGAAUUCCGGUCGUACCUUGGGGUGUUAUUUCCGGUUAAUCCCGCACGUAAGGACGGAAAUACGCCUUAGGNAUAAAAAGAUGUGCGAUUAGGAUAAUAGCAAUUUUUUAGAAUUAAGUAGAUGAUUGGUUGAAUAAUAUAAUUUAACAGAUAAAAAUUAUCUAAAAAUAAAUUUAACGAUAAAAAAAUUAAUAAUAUAACGAGAUUAGUACUACCAAUUGUAUAAUAGUCAGACUCAUCUAGAAUUAUAUAUAUAUAUAUAGUUAUUAAAACAUAGAUCUUAUUUAAUUUACAAGCUAAAUCCACUAUAGGAUGUUGACUCAAAAAAUAACUAAAUAAAAUUUUAAAUUAAUGGACAUAUAUCUUGGAAAUUAAAAUUUUGCAUGCUCUUUAUUCUGAGAUAAAACCAAUAUAUGAAUAAUAAAAAGAUAAAAAUAUGAUAGCGUAACACUAUAGUCUAUGUUUUUCUGGGUCGAGGACAGAGUAACAAUAUCGCGAUAGGUUAAGGACUAUCGCAUAAUUGUUUCAUGCUUUAGAAACGGGGGAGCUUCGCAAUAAGAAAGAGUAGUUGAGGGGUCUCAAUGCAUAUUUUCCACAGAAACAAACUCUCUCUCUCUAAUCGCCGAGCGAGACCCCUCGCCCCCCAUGGCGGCUUCGCGCGGCGGAGCCCUACGAGCGCCGCUCGGCGGAGGUGGCGGAGGCAGCUGUGCCGGCGCCGGAGGAGGAGGAGGAGGGAGGUGGGGGGGGAUGAGCCGAGACCUCCUCGAGGCGAUCCUCGCGAGGGUCGGGGCGCCGGAUCUCGUCGCCGCGGUCCCCUUCGUGUGCUCCUCGUGGCGUGAAGCUUCUAGAGACCCCCUCUUCUGGCGCCGCCUCGACCUCGGCGACUGGGACGCCGUCUCCCGCCGCCUCCGCCGCGGCGGCGGAGGCGGAGGCACCGCCGCCGCCGAGUUCGCCGGUAUCCUCCGCGUCGCCGUCGCACGCGGCCGCGGACGAACGGAGUCGAUCUCCUUCCCCUCCUUCGCUGAUGAGGCCCAUCUCCUCUUUGUCGCUGAGAGGUGAUUUGUGUUUGCCCUAAAAAAACAUAGACUUUUAGGGUUUCUUUUAGCGCACACACAUUACGAUCGAAUGCUCUUUCGUUUCUCUUUUUUUCCUAUACUCGUAAGAGCAGUUUUUUUUUUUAAAAAAAAUCUUUUAUUAAGAUAAAUGCUUGACCUGUUAUCUAUCAGUCUAUGAAGCCCCAUUUUUUAUGGUAAACACUAAUUGAAGUAUGAGUUUUUCAAGUUUCAAACUUUGCUGGAUUAUGUAGGCAUUUGCCCCUUAAAUAUUAUGUUUAGUAUAAUUCUAUCUUAUUUAACUCUCAGGUGCUCAAAUCUACUUUACUUUAGCCUCCCAAAUCCCCGAAUAGCAUCGGAUAGAUUCUGCGAGGCCGUCGCCAAAUUGAAGCUUCUUAAAGGCAUGGCAGUUGAUGAGAGCCUCAUAACCAAUGAAGUUCUUCUACAUAUAAAAAAUUGCUGCAAAAAUUUUUCUGAACUAAGAGUAUGUGCUGAGAGUGUGAAUAGAGAGAUUGCUUCUGUUAUCUGCAAGUCUCUUCCAAAUCUGAAAAAGCUCGAGAUAACCAAUUCGGUCAUAUCGAAGCAGGCCAUUAUUACUCUCCUUGAUGGGUUGGAGCAGCUCGAGCACUUUGACAUUUCAGGGUACAGGAAUUCUACGAUUACCGAUCUUGUCCUUCAGAAGGCUUCGCGGCUAAAAGUGUUCUUGUGGGACUCGAAGUUGGAGCUCGGUGAGUUAAUGGACUGCUCACAUUGUGAGGACGGCCUGGUUCUUCAGAGGCCUUGCGAGUGCGUGCUGAAUCAGAGGGUGAUGGAAUGGUUGGCCGAGGUUUCGUAAGAUCUUCUCUCUGUUUCUUGGUUGUUCGGGAGUAAAAGGAUGAGGUAAAUCCUUAAAUCACUUCAUGUUUAAACAAUGAAGUUGUGUUCCCUCUUGAGAUAUUUGGUAUAUUAUUGUGCAUAUUUGAAAUGAAGUUGGUUUUCUUGUCACCAAAGUGUUGUCUGUCGUUUGUACUCUUAUUCACUAUCAUUUUAAUAAACAUUCAAGUGUUUAACCAAAAAAAGAGAGAAAAUUUUAGGCAUUUGAGAUGCUAACAAUAAAAUCGAUCUAUUGGUUUGUUAGAGAUGGUUGUUUUGUAUUGCUUGUUGUGUGGUUUAGCAUGAUGCAUAUAUUAGUAAAGGAGUGAAUAAAGGAACAAAUAUGUAGUAGCUUGUGGGAGAACCAUAAAAGAUUACUCUUCUUACUUUUUUAAACUUUACAUUACUCGGAGAACUGCGAAGAAAUAUGGAGUUGUUUAUUCAUCAAUUAAUUAUACAGAACAACAACUUUCAUAAUUGUCUGAACUUCUGAUUACUUUCUUAUUUGGAAUUUAACAAUUAGACACAUGCUUUAUUUCGGAACUUCUAUGUCUGUUUAUAUUUUUUCGAUCAUGACUAUCGGAUUAUGUUUAGCUGAUCCAAAUUAGUUGAAAAAGAUUUACCAUAUAUGUUCAAGUCGAGGUCAUUCAUCUGUUACAGUUUGAUUACGAGGAGAUUAAAUGACUAUUGGAGCGUGAAGAUUGACUUUUUGAGAAUAAUCGUCGGAGAAUUCUUGCAAGUGGAAUUGAAACCACGCGUUUUCCCUGCCUAAGUAAUUGACUUGGUUUAUGAUGACCAAUUUAGAGUUAACUUCUUGUUUAAUAAUAUCAUUAUGGAUGAGAAAGAAGAACUUGUUGCCUAGUAACACGAUUUAUGAUUUGUUGUAUGAAGUUGUCCAUUGAACCAUUAGCAUUUUUUUCACUUAAAAGAGUCCUUCUACUUGUUUUCCUAUUGUAGAAGAGCAAAAGCUUAUUUUGACUCUUGGUUGCAGUAAAAAUCUUAAACUUUCUGUUUGUCAUAUGUCUGAGAUUAUUACUUUUCGAAAUAGAAAACUAUUUCAAAACCAUGCAAAGUAGCCAACCAUACAAAUCCUAUUAGAAUUAUUUGAGACAAACUUGGAUUGAGGCACAAAUUUGCAAUCAAUAUCACACUUGUAAUAUUAUGUUCUACAGCAUACGAAAUCAUACUCAGAUUACAAACCAAGCAACAUAUUUUUCACAAUAUAUAGCAAACCUAAAUUAAAGCAUAUAACCCACAAAAGCAUCACACACUUAUAUCUCUUUCUCUCUCUUCUUUAUUUUGUCCCAUAGAGAUACCUUAUAACUUCAUCAAGCAGCCAUAGUGAUCAUAUUUCUUUGCAUUCAUCUUCAUUCUGCUGCUGCUGAUCUGCACAGUAGUUCCCCAUGCAAUUUACUUUACCUCUGUGAACCAAAAUGUUGUUGCAUCCCCACACAUCAACACUGUAACAGCGAUGGACCCGAAGAGCGCCACACCUUAAGAUCCGAGCCGUGUCGCAACGUUUGAUGCAAACAUCGCCGCAGAAAUCGACACUGACGAAGUUGCACCGUUUGAUCAGUAAGUUCCUGCCGCCCUCCACGCGAGCAACUCUGCACCGUUCGAGUAGAACAUCGCCGCCGCCUGUAACAUAGACGUCGUUGCAUCGCUUGACGACGAUGCUGCUGCUUUGUACUAUCUGCGCGUUGCUGCACCGAUGCACUGAGAUUUUCUGACCGCCUUCGGCAUAAAUAUUGUUGCAGCGAUCGAAGGAGAUGUUGUAGCCCUGGGCUUUGAUCUGAAUGUUGUUGAAGCGAUCGACGCGAACUUCACCGGGCCGGACGACUUUGACGGUGCCUUGUUUGUACGUGAAGGUGCUCUUUUCGACGAGAAAUUCUACGCCGUCGACGACCACGGUGAGCUUUUCUGUGUACUCUUCAACUGCCACCAUUGUGAUGAGCUAAACAGGAGAUAUAGGGAGAUGGAUGAAGCUGGGUUGUGUGAGGUUUCUCUAGAGCUUGUUAUAGGAUUGCAUUUAAAGACUUUUCUUUACACAAGUAGAGAAGUAAGCGGUAGCAUGCUUCUUGUAGAAGUAAUCAGAUGAGAAUUCAAUUAGAUGCUAUGUUAGUUUGGUUGUCAAAUUAAUAGCAUGAUGUUGACUCACAAAAUAAAUAUAUAAAUGAACUAUUUUUAGAAUAAAAAAACAGUUCUGGUGUGUUCCACCUUGGUGAAUUUAGAAAUUACUUCAGCAACGCAGAGUUAGUAACAGCAACAAUUUUUUAAAAAUAUUGUAGAAGAGUGAUUUUCAUAAUUACUUUCGGAAAAUUAAAUUCAACAACAUCAAUAGAAGGGAAAACUUCAAAAAUUUUGUUUUGAGAACAUACGAAGAUGUUGCUAUCAGUGAUUGAUAAAAAUGUCGUUAUUGAUAAAAAUGUCGAUGAUGAGUCGCAUUGUUUCCAUUUUUUAACUUUCUUAAAAAAAAAAAAAUCCUCUAACCUAAUGAUCUUAUCUCACUCUAUUACGAUCAUGCUCAAAUCUUCAGAAAAUUGAAUUCCAAUAACCAAGCCCUUUUACAAUUUUGACUUCAAUGCCUUGCCAUUUUAUUAGGUAUUGAAAAUUCAAAAUUUUAAAAUUCAAGCACCUACUUAAAAAUUUAUAGAUGGCCGAUCGAUCGCGUAGUUACGGUACAAUUUUUAUCAUACAUAAAUGGCCACCUGUCACCAAGGGAACAUUGAAUGCCAAAUAAAUAUCUCCCCCAGCACCAACCAACCCCAUGUUCAAAAUGUAGGGUGGCGUGCAGUGUGUGCUCUCCAAGCUGGCAUAGAGCCAAAGCUUCAUUGGAUUUUAAUAACAAUAUAUAGUUAUAAUAUAAUAAUAAUAAUAAUAAUUAUAAUAAUAAUAAUACACUUCAACACAAAAUGCUACAUACAUAUGAAGAGUACGCGCUAUAUAGACGAGGACAAAUGGAGAGGACAAAGGGAAAGAGGUAUCCAAACUACUCUAAAUAGACACUUAAACUCUCUCACAAACUCAUUUACAGCAAAUCACAUCACUCCAUAAUAUUCAGCCAAAGGAAGGAAAAGACUGAGGGAAAACUGCUAUGGAGCUUUUUUUUUCUUUUUUUCUUUUUUUUUUUGUUUUUUUUUGGCUUCCAUUAUGGCUCACUUGUCCUCUUACCUCUGCUCCUGGAAAAGUUGGUCUCUUCUUCCAACAAGCCCUGCAGUAACAAAUUCAUGCCUUGGUAUGUCAGUGUCAGAUCAUAUAACAAAAUUUGGAUCAGUUUGUAGUUCAAUGAAUUCAAAGUGAAUGGGAUUAUAGGUUAAAAGAAUCUGUUGUUGUUUUGAAUGGGCCAUUCUCUGAUUUGCUUGUAGAUGUUUAUAGAUUCCAUCACAAUCAGGAAACUAUAUUUUUUUCACAAACUAAUUUUUAUUAUUUCUGAGAAUUGUAUCAUCUUAAUUCAUCAGAAUUGCUUAAAGCUACACAAGUCUAUCAACAAAAAUCAUUACACAAAACAGGAAUUAAGAGGGGGAAGGGGAUUAACUAUAUCUCUAAUACAGAGUCUAAGGGGAGGUUAAUUAUCUGUAGUGUAAAGUGCAUGCAAUUAAUGUGGGAAAAAAAAGGGAAAAACAACUUGAAAGGGGCAAGUUGAUGACAUAAAUAGACAUCUCAACAGUAUGAGAUUAAAGCAGAAAAAAAAGAUGGUGUACAUUAAAACCAGUUUCUAGAUUAAAUAGCAGCAAAGAGAAGGAGAAAUGAAGCCCUUUUUACCCCCCAUAUUUGAUGGUUAAUAAAUUGAAGCUAACUAUAAUUGAACCGACAAUAAGUAUAAGAUGGAAAAUGGAAUAUUUGCAUAUGGAAAUUUCAUUUCUGAAACAAGAAGCAAGUAAUCAAUCAAUAGAAACAUUGACAACUUUGAUUGGAAAAAUGAUUUUUCAUUACUUUACAAUACCAAUAACAAAGAGAUGGGUGCUUCAAAAUGAUCUCUGUACCAGAAAUUCAAGCCCAAUUGAGAUCAAAUAAAGGUAGAUCAUAAAUUAAAAAGCAGGAAGAUGUUAAAAAUACAAAAUUUAUACAAAACCCACAAUUAAAAAAGCCCUAGAAGACACAAGUAAACCCCCACGAAAAAGCGAACAUGAAAAAACAGUUCCAAAAAGCCCAAAAUUAAAAAGCCCCAAUUUUCAAACAAAUUAAACCGAAAAUAAAGAGAUCCCCAAAUCACCAAAUUCAAAUCCAAAUAGGUUAGAAAACCGAAACAGAUCGCAAUAAAUUUUCACUUUUCGCAUUAAAUACCCAAUUUUGCUGCAACCGAAACCGAAACAGAAGAGGGAUCGAAACCCAUGAAAUUGUAACAACCCGUCGUCAUCGUAAUCAUCAACAUCAUCACUAUGAUCAAUAAAAAUCGCACCUUUCCGAAUCGCCACCUCACCAUCUCCGGCGAUCUCCGCCGCGGCGGAGUUGGGCUGGCACUCGGGAGGGUCCUCGAAGACGGAUCGGGAGAGGCGCUUAUGGGCGAGGCCGAUGUCGAAGAGGAUGACCCCGGAGGAGGGGUCGGAGACGAGGAUCCCCUUCACGGGGAGCCACACGAAGAGCUCCUCCUGGGACAGCCCCUCGACGCCGCGGAGCGCGCCGAAGCUGAGGUUGCCGCGCACGGCGCGGUCGAAGUAGGCGAGGUCGACGCCGUCGUACUUGGCGUAGCAGGGCUGCGAGAGCUCCACGUCGAGGAGCCCCGUAUCGGCGUCGAGGGAGAAGGACGCGACCCCCUUGGGUAGUAGCCCCCCCGGGAGCCCAUGCGCGCGAAGCACGUCGUGGAUCGACGCCUCCGAGUCGGAGUCCGAGGAGGAAACCGUUCCUAGGGUUAGGGUUUCGACGAGGACCAGGACGACGAGGAAGAGGAAAGGUGAGACCUUUCCCAUUUGGAAAAUGGAGAAAGAGAGAGAGAGCGAGAGGGGAAAGGGGAGGGGAGAGGUGAAGGGUUAAGAAAAGGGUGUGUGUGUGUGAGAGAGAGAGAGAGAGAGAGAGAGAGAGUAUAGAGUUAAUAAAGGAAAAUGGGGUGGAAAAUUAAUAAAUAAAUAAUUUAAAUAAAUAAAUAUUAAUAUAAAUAUUGAUAUAAAUAAAUAUAAAUAAAAUAUGAGUGAAAAAGUGAGCAUGUGAGGUGGAGCCCCCAAAAUGAGUAGAAUAAAUGAACGAAUAAGAAGAAGUGGGGGUGAAUUUGAAUUUGACAGGGUGUGUGUGUGAUGGUGGUGGGCUCAGCCAUACCAUACAUAUUAGGGCAUAGCUGAGGUUGGUAUCAGCACAAUUUGUUAAAUAACCAAUAUUGUACCUUACACUCUAGUAAAUUAUAAGUUAGAUUUUUCAAAAAAAAAAGAGAGGCUUUUUCUUUUUUAAAAAAAAGUUUUGUUGAAAUUUUUUGGACUGAUUAACACCUUAAAAAUGUCCCACAAUUAUAUAUUAAGUAUGCUAUCUCUACAUUUCUAAACUAAUAAGUGUAUAUUUUACAUCUCACGCAUUUAAAAUUUUUUUAUUCUCUACUUGUCUUAUUAUUUCUUUUAUUUUACUGAAAUUUUAGGAUGUGUGAGAUAUGUGAGAUUUAUGUUUAUAUAUAGAGGAGUCCAUAUCACAUUCUUCUUAUAAAUUUAAAAUUUAUGUUACAGAUAGCACUGUUAUUUUUUUUUAAAAAGUAAACUAUGCUAUUUGUUUCGUUUAUUUUUUAAAAAAAUAAAAUUAGUUGAAAAAUAUAAAACAGUUAAAUUUCAAACUUUAAAAUUUUGAAUAUCAAUAAUUAAGUUUUUUUUGUCAUUUGUAUCAGAAACAGUGAACAGUUGUGAAUUUAUCCUAGGAAAGAGAAAAAGAAGAACAAAAAUGAAAUAAACAUUUUAUGUUCUAUUUGGGGUGAUGUGGGGGACUUUCACGGGCAGGGGAGGAAUCAUGUCAGCCAAGCAGAGUGGCAGUAGCUGAGUGAGGGAUGCACAAAAUCAAGGGAAAAAAAAAAAAAAAAAACUUAAAAUAAAAGUAAAAAUAAAAUUAAAAUUAAAAACUUCUUUUUUAUUUUUUAUUUUUUUUUCUUGUUUUCACAUUGACACCAAGCCAAGAGCCAGCUGAAUACUCUGGAGUGUUCUGUACUCUUGUUCUCUCUCUUUCUCUCUCUUUCUCUCUCUCUACAUUCUCUCUCUAAUCAGUGGGAGACAAGCCUCUCAAUCUAUGGGCUGUAUAAUAAAAUCUGGAAUAAUAAUAUUUAGGGUUGUGAUACACUGAUACUGGGAGAUCAAGUAGAUUGAUCAGAUUUAUCGAAUAUAAUAAUUAAUUCUUUAGUUAAUAAAUGGUGAUCUGAUUCGGUAAAAAUGUAGGAUAAUGAUAUUAAGAAAUAAACUGGAUAGAUAGAUCUGAUUUACUAAAUUUGGUCAAAUUUGAUUUGUAAAUUUGUGAUCAGAUUUGUCAACAAUAAUAUAAUUAACUCUGGUGAUAUCAAUAUCUAGUUAACCCUCUAAUAAAUGUACAGGUAGUUUGUUUUUUUGUAGUAAUAUGGCAUUGCAGUUUAGUUCUUGUGCUUUUCAUUAAAUCUUAUUCACGAAAAUUCCAAAUAUAUUACAGUUACUGUUAUUUCUAAUCGUUCGAAAUAUUCUUAUUCUUUUUCAUAAAGAGAUUUGACAUUUUGUCUUUGAAUGUAAAAUACAUGUGAAAUUUUAGUUUUCAUAGAAAAUUCAUUUAAUAAAUAUAACCUAAUAUUGGGUGAAAGUAUAGUUAAAUUGACUUAAGUUUAUAUAUUUGCAUUCCUAUAUUCUCUUAAACUUCAGGGAAAUGAAAGUAAUGGUAAAUGAAAAGGAAAAAAUCAAGAAUAACAAUACUUAUAAAGUCCAUUUUUCAUUGUCAAAUUUCCCCCUUUUUUUUUUUGUUGAAAAUACUUGUGUACCACUCAAAACUUUUUUCCUAAGAAAAAUGUGCAAGUUUAAACUUGGUACUUGUAGUAUAGUGCUAAUAUCAAUGAGGAAUAAAUUGUCCAGGGCCAAGCGGCUAAGGAAAGCAUCCAAAAACUAAACAAAGACAUGUUGUUACAUAGUUAACAUAGAGAUAAGUGUGAGUAGUUGUUGUUUGAUUGAGAAAGCAAUAGCACUUUGGGCAAUAGAAACCUAGAGAGAAAGCCAACCUAUCAUAGACAAGGAGAAUAGCUAUCAAAAUACCCACCUCAUUUUUUUUUUUUUUUUUUUUUUGAAAAAAAAAAUUGUGGUUCAGGGCUCCAAGCACUAAAAAAGAAGGGGGAUUCUAUUUUGUGUAACAUCUCAUGUGGGAACAAACCCUUCUUCUCCCUAAUGAUACACUUUAGACAUCAAUCAUUGAAUCCUUAUAUUGUUAUUUAAUCCCUCCACAUCCUAUUUAUUCUUUACUUGAAUGGCUUAGCUUGUCAUAAUUGUCCUUUGGGUGAGAUGGAGAGGUUAGGCUUUCCAUAUGCAUGUCCCCUCUCUUAAGGAUGCUAUUAUAUAUAUUCAUUCUCAAGCACCCCCCACCACUUUAAUCCUAGUUAUUUGCCACAAAACCACCUUAUUUGCUCCACCAAACCUGUGGGGUCUUUUGAUCCACCAACAAGAGUGUUAACGGGUCGGAUUCGAGUCAUGGAGCGCGUAUUUUCAGUAUCUGAUAUCGAAUACGAGCAUACAAAUAUAACCAGACCUUCAAAUGGUCGGAUUUGUGUCGAAUCGGAUGGCGGGUUAGUGGAACAAAUGACACUCCAGGUUAAACAAAUCUCAAGCAUUGUUAAGUAGUAGCUCACUACAGGAGAAAGGUAAAUGGGGACCAUAAGGAAGAGCCAUAAUAUUAUUCCUUGAAUAUUAAACAAAAUGGUACAUCUCGUGCGACUAGUGGGCUGAGUUAUUCAUAAUUGCAAAAGAUGAAUCCAUUAUUGCUAGAUUUACCCAUUGAUUCACUUUAAAGUUCAAAGUUAACCCAGUAAAUGUGACAUGAAUUUAGACUACAUCAACCUACUUGUACUCUAAACCGAACUAUUUCCGACAUUUAAUAGGCUAUAUUUGAUUUGAACAACAUAAGAAACUAAACUCGAAUCUAAACAGAACAAUUUCUGACCUUUAAUAGGCUACAUUUGAUUCAAACAACACAAAAAAGGUAAUCUCUUAUUUAAAAUGCCAAAAUUUGGGAUUAUUUCAGAUCAAUAAUGCACAAGAAUUAUGAACACAGAGUGCAAAUGAUCGUUGUAUGCAUUUUAUAUGAAGCUUUUAAUAGAAAAUAGUUCUAUAACAAUCCUGUGAAAUAUGCUUCUGAGUAAAAGCACACUAGGGAACUCCAAAAACCCCAACAUUUCACAUUUCCCCUUUUUUUUCUUUUUUAUAUUGUCUAACUUACAUUAGGCUAUGAGAGAUUAUUGACAAAGGUAAACAAGUAGAUGGAUACAGUAAUUUACAAAUUUAUAGGAAUACAUACAACAAUCAAUGUGGGUUCUGUCACUGUGGGUGGUUCCUCUCAGGUGAUUUUGCGAGGUAAUUUGUUGGCUUGCCCUCGCUGACGAAUAUUUCAUUUUGUUCGUUUGAACUGAAUAUCUAUUGCCUGACCUAAAAACAAAAACGAGAAAAAAGAUAUUAUCAUGUUAAAAAUAAGUGUACGAGUACAAUAUGAGUGGCCAUUCAUUUAAGAAAAUGUGAAUCGUAACCAUGUGAGUGCUUGGGGCAAUAAACUAGGAGAAGCACACAUCACACCAAAAUAACUUACAUUUUGGAAUAUAUAGUCCCCGCAAAUAUCUGAACUUGCAAAAAUGUCACUGUAAAGUUGGUAUUUGCAUGUGCACCCUUGAAUUACCUUGUUUAUUUAUGUCCAUACCCCUUUGGAAUUGGGGAUAUCAAUGCAAAAAAGGUUUUGUAUACACCCCUCUAUGAGGUGGAUGAGUGCAGCUAAAUGCAAUUUUAAGGAGCACACAUAAAUUCCAACUAUGCAGAGAUAUUUGAGUCAGUUGGCAUAUUUUCUGGGUAUAAUUUAAAAAACUACUGACUAGUCCCACGGAAGAAAAUAUAAUUGAAAGAGGUACUAACCUUUUAGCACAAGUUAAUUCACUUGAAAUAACAUCAAAGCUCCUGUCUACAGGCUCAAGUUCAAUUUGUGAAUCCACGUUAACUGUGCUAUGAAGUCUGCAUUUGUUUCAUGUAGCGUAAAGCUGAACGCAACAUCGCUCUCGCCUUUCUAUCAGGUGCACAUCCUGAUGAAAUCAUUUCUUCAUAAACAGCAGGAACCUGUUGACAGCAAAUGAAGUAUAUGUUUAGAUCUUUCGCCUUAAUCAUAUAGUAUUUAGAAAAAUACUUCAAAUCAUAAAGCAUUUACUAGUCAUUGUUUUGUACUCAUACAGGAUGGGCAAAAAUUCAAAGUUUUUUUAAGUUUCGGAAUUAAAAAUUAUAGCUAUAAUUGAUGCUUUAGCCAAAUAGAAAUUGGUUGGUGGUCAUAACUGGUGAGAUAUAAUAAAUUAGGAAAUGGAAGCAGCAAAUGGAUACACUUGAAAUUUAAAGACCUAAGAAACAAGUUGUCUCAUAAGGAUGCAAGUAAAUUACUAGAUAAACGAUGCUAUAAGGAUGCAAGUAAAUUACUAGAUAAGCAAUGCUAGUUGUACAUCCCCAAAGGACCGGUGAGAUAUAAUAAAUUAGGAAAUGGAAGCAGCAAAUGGAUACACUUGAAAUUUAAGACCUAAGAAACAAGUUGUCUCAUAAGGAUGCAAGUAAAUUACUAGAUAAACAAUGCUAUAAGGAUGCAAGUAAAUUACUAGAUAAGCAAUGCUAGUUGUACAUCCCCAAAGGGGUGUAGGAUAACACCCCACCUCCCCCCCCCCCAAACAAUUUAAGGGUGGGGACUUCACCACUAGUCAUAUGGAUGUGACUAGCAGAGUAUGGGUGGGGUGUAUAUCCUAUACCUCUUUGGGGGUGUACAAUUAGAAUUUCUCUUGAAUUUGUAAACUAAAUCACUCUGAGCACCCUUUAUUUUACUUUUGUCAAAGACUCGGGCAUUUAACAUCUCACCAUGCAGAUAAGCACUGAUGCAUAUAAGAGAUUCAGUUUAAACAAAAUUAAACUCAACAGUUCGUGACAAUAUAUAGAAUUAUGUUCCUUGCUACAUUAGUGAAAACAUUACAUGAAAGUAAACCAUGCUUGGGCACAAAUUGACAUUAUUUAUUUUCCAGUAAUAGCGAGGAUUAAAGUCAGUACCUUUUCAAACUUUUCAACACGGAUUAAAGCUUUCAUGAGGGUUGUGUAUGUGACAACAUCUGGCUUCAGAUCCUAAAGGUAUAGAAUAAUAAGAAAUAGAGAAUAAUGACGUAAUGGUAAGAAAACAUUACAAGGGAAAAAGAAAUACAUACAUUUUCCUUCAUGUAUUGCAAUACAGAAAAGGCUUCAGCAUCUCUUCGAUCCUCACCAAAUGCAUUAAUCAACGAGUUAAGGACUAAUACGCUAGGUUCUAUGCCAUCUGCUCUCAUGACCUUAAAUGCAUUUAUUGCUUGGUCUGCUAAGCCCUGGAAAUAGAACAAGUUUCAAUUUACAAGAGUGGCAAAACACUUCAAAAAGAAGUCUCAAGUUAGGAUGAUUAGGAUCCUUUCAAUAAAUCAUCUGAUACAAUAUAAACUCUGCAGGACAAAAACUGUAAGUUAAAUACUUGGAUAAAAAAGGCAGCUCUAGAAAGCUAACGGGCAAAUUAAAUUGUAAGCAAUCUCUAAAGGAAGUUCUAUUGAGAAUGAUGCAGCGAAUUGCAGAUUGACAGUGUUUUAAGAGAGUCUGCUCACUAUAACAAUACAAUAAUUAGAUUUAAUUAAGUGUUCACAUGUGUUGUGCUUUGUCCAAUGGUAAAAAUAAGUGAUUAGCAAAUUACGGAAUGACCGUCAUUCAGAUUUUCUUUCCUCAAAGUUAUAUAAGGUAAUUUAUUUAGCGACAUUACCAUCCUCAUAGUAGAAUAGGUGCUGUCUCUAAGAUUAUCAACCAGUUCGACCAGAAUCUUUAAUGCCUGCUCAGUUGUUUAAGAGUAUCAUUACACAACAAAAUGGCCAAAUACAAUGAUCAUGUAUUGCACACUCAGUGUGAUACAUCCUGAUCAAUGAAACCAGCUAAACAUUUCAGUUUCAACCAUGGAGCACAGAUUAGGACAUCAAGCAGAAAAAUAAGCCGUAAACCUCUAAGAACGAUAAAAGAAAAUGAUUGAAUAUGCACUCACUCUCUGUGCAUAUGCAUUGACCAAAGCAUGAUACAUUGUGGGUGAAGGCGCCAUCCCAUCUGCUUUCAUCGCCUCCAAGCACUCAAUCGCCUCUUUGAAUCUCCCUGACUUCCCAUACACAUCCACAAGUGUGGUAUAAGUUAUUACAUUUGGCAACAGUCCUUGUUCUUUCAUCUUCUCCAAUGUCUCUUUCACCUCGCCCCACCUUUCCUGCUCUCCCAACGAAUUAAUCACAAUGUUGUACGUUGUCGUUCCAGGUGGGCAGCCACUCGCCUGCAUUUACGAGUGAAAACAGACUUGAUAUGGAUCGAAUAGUGGCUAAGCCACAUUUAUAUUCAUAUUUCUUCUCCAAAGAAGAAUAUGGAUAUAGACACUAAAAGGUUUCUAGUUUGGAAAACCAUACUUAUAUAUAACAUUGAAAGGAAUACAAAGGAUAUUGUAUAUGUUCACAUUUGUCGCAAACGUAUAUAGUACGGUAGAAUGUGUGUAUUAUACCAAGCAUUAUAUAUAGCAUAAGCCUACUAGAGAGUUACAGAAAUGCAUGGAAAAAAAUUAUGUAUCAUUAAACAACAAUAUUACAUUUUUCAAUCUUUUAAUCAACCGAUAUCCAGUAAUGUAUUCACAUAGAGCACUUAAACUUAUAGUCAGAUAUGAAAAGCAGACAGGAUAGAUAUAAUCAUCCGACUUAUGUUAAACCCCUACCUGCAUUUCCUCAAAUAGCUGCAAGGCGCGGUUGUGACGCCCUGCCUUGCAGUGUGCAUCAAUGAUCGUGUUCCAUGUAACGAUGUCCGGCUCGAUCCCGUUGGCCCGCAUCUGGUCGAACGCAUCCAGUGCAUGGCGAAGGCCAUUGUACUUUCCAAAUGUAUCAAUCAUCACAUUAUAAAAGUGGCGGUCGGGGCUGAUCCCAUUUAUUCUCAUUUCCCUGAGCACGGCGAACGAUUUCUGCCACUGUCCUUUGUCGCGGAAGCUGGCGAGGAUGCGGCUGAAGAUGUAGGAGUUGGGGCGGAGGUCGUUGGCCUCCAUCUCUUUGAGCAGGAUGCGGGCGCUCUCCCACCGGCCGGCAUUGGUGUACGCGUCGAUGAGGAGGCUGUACGUGGCCUCGUCGGGGCUCACUUCCCAUUGGGACAUUUCGUCGAGCACGUGCUCGGCGCUCUUCAAAGAUCCGAUUUUGACGUAGCCCUUCAGUAGGGCGUUGUAGGCGCGGGUUCGGGGGCGGAUCUCGCCCGCGUGGUAGAACUCGAGGAAGAUGGCCUCGGCCUCGGCGACGCGGCCUUCGGCGCCGAGGGCGGAGAGGAGGGCGACGACGGCGGAGGAGCGCGGGGUGAGGCCGAGGGCCUGGGCGGCGGCGAGUAUGGCGAGGGCGGCGUCGGGGUCGGCGGCGCGGGAGAACGCGGCGACGAGGUCGGAGAAGAGGCGCGCGUCGGGCUCGAGGCGGAGGGCGCGGAGGUCGGCGAGGAGGCGCGCGACGAUGGCGGGGUCGGGGGGGUCCGGGGAGCGGAGGAGCGAGGUGAGGAUGUGGGAGUAGCUGGGGAGGUCGGGGAGGUAGCCGUAGGAGCGGAGGAGGGAGAGGAGGCGGAGGGCGAGCGCGGGGCGCGAGUCGACCGCGGCGGCGGAGAGGAGCGAGUUGAGGAUGAGAGGCGACGGAGGGUCCGAGUACGAGUACCGAUGNAUUCGAAUCUUAGUUAAUUUAUAUUUCCAGCUAAGUUUAUUUCUAGAUGAAAUAAACGAAGCGAAAAAAAAAAAAAGAUAAGUGGCUAAAAGCUACGCUUUUAUGCUUGAAAAAAAGUGUUAAAAAAAAUCAAAAGGUAUUUUUUUAAUUUCUUUUCUAUUUCAAUAUUAUAAUUAUAAAAAUUACAAUAGCGAUUAUCAUCGAAGAAGCAUGCAGUGCAUAAAUAUGAUAAUUUUAAGAUUUUGCCAUCGUAUUAUCAAAUUAGGCUUUAACCAAAAGCACCUAUAAGAAAAUCAAAGCUAGAGGUGUGUUUUACUUUGAGCUUUUCUAUAUGUACAGAAAUACCAUGCAAAGAGCUACAAUUCAAUAGUUUUGGUAGGUAGCCUCCAUACCAUAAUAUAGAAUGCAAUUGACUGCAGCUAAAAGUAAAAAAAGAAACAAACUCAAAACAGACAUUCAGAACAUAGUAUCCGUGCUCUCGGAUGAAAUAUUGUUUAAUUAAAUAAUGUCUGAAAAGUAAUACUAGAAAAGGUACAAUAAAGAUCAAAGUGGUGCUAAAUUUACAACUUGUAACGGAUUUUAAUCUUACAACAUCUUUAUUUAAAUGCUAUUUUUUCUGUUAGUUCUAUAAUUCUUUCUUUUUUUAAAUGAACAAGACAGUAAAUUCAAAAUAUUUUCGAUGAGAGAUGGUAGAAAUUACAAUCUCUUUCCGAUUGUAGACUUAGGUAAAUUAAAGCUGAACUUGGUACAAGUAAAAGAUUUGUUGAUUUUGUGGAAAACAAAAAGGUGAAACUAUUUUCAAUUGUUAAUUUACAGUAUGAAAACUUUUAUUAUCUUUUUUUUUUUUCUAUUUGAUAAUAUUCUCUGCUGCCAUCCAUGUUCAUUAAUCAUUAUAGUGUUUCGAAAAAGUAAAAUUACUAUAGAAAAUUUUAAUUUACAGUAAAUUAACAAUUGAAAAUAGUUUCACCUUUUUGUUUUCCACAAAAUCAACAAAUCUUUUACUUGUACCAAGUUCAGCUUUAAUUUACCUAAGUCUACAAUCGGAAAGAGAUUGUAAUUUCUACCAUCUCUCAUCGAAAAUAUUUUGAAUUUACUGUCUUGUUCAUUUAAAAAAAGAAAGAAUUAUAGAACUAACAGAAAAAAUAGCAUUUAAAUAAAGAUGUUGUAAGAUUAAAAUCCGUUACAAGUUGUAAAUUUAGCACCACUUUGAUCUUUAUUGUACCUUUUCUAGUAUUACUUUUCAGACAUUAUUUAAUUAAACAAUAUUUCAUCCGAGAGCACGGAUACUAUGUUCUGAAUGUCUGUUUUGAGUUUGUUUCUUUUUUUACUUUUAGCUGCAGUCAAUUGCAUUCUAUAUUAUGGUAUGGAGGCUACCUACCAAAACUAUUGAAUUGUAGCUCUUUGCAUGGUAUUUCUGUACAUAUAGAAAAGCUCAAAGUAAAACACACCUCUAGCUUUGAUUUUCUUAUAGGUGCUUUUGGUUAAAGCCUAAUUUGAUAAUACGAUGGCAAAAUCUUAAAAUUAUCAUAUUUAUGCACUGCAUGCUUCUUCGAUGAUAAUCGCUAUUGUAAUUUUUAUAAUUAUAAUAUUGAAAUAGAAAAGAAAUUAAAAAAAUACCUUUUGAUUUUUUUUAACACUUUUUUUCAAGCAUAAAAGCGUAGCUUUUAGCCACUUAUCUUUUUUUUUUUCGCUUCGUUUAUUUCAUCUAGAAAUAAACUUAGCUGGAAAUAUAAAUUAACUAAGAUUCGAAUUAGAGAUCUCGGAUAUCAAUCAUCAAGUCUUUUACCAUUUGCUCAGAGGACGGUCGGUAGCUUUUAGUCACUUAUCAAGCUUGAAACAAUACAGCCAAUACUAUUUUUCAACCAAUGACUUGUAUUUCUCAUAGAACGUGAAUGGGAGGCCCAACAUCGAAAUUUGUACUGGUCCAUGAUUAGUUGGGUUGGGGCUUUAGGUGGGUCGAACUGGGCCUAGCCCGGUCGAGAAUAAGAAAAAAAAAAGGGAGAGAAAUUAAAAGAAAAUAAAAUAAAUGGUCCACGUAGAUAAUGACAUGGCACUCAUCUAAGUAUCCACGUGGGAUCCAUCACGUGGGAAUUCCACGUCAUUUCGUUUUAGUGGCGGAUCAGAUCAUCACCAUCUUCCGAUAUCCUCGGCUCGUGGCGGUGGCCGCGCCACGAGGCCCCGCUCUCGCUCCACCUCAUAUGUUUCUCUCCUCCCAAUAAAAAAAUUAAUUUUUGACAUUUAGAUAUUACCCACCAAGUACUAAUGGUAACUUAUUUAAACAUCUCCUUUAUUUGAUUUUAUUUUAUUCUUUUUUUAAAAAAAAAAAAAGGAAUAGAUGCUUUGUGGUGGGGCCCAAGAGAAUCGAGUGACUCAGGUGGGACCCGCAAGGACCGGCCCCACCCGGCGCAGGGCGGAGGCGCCGCCACGUUGGACGCGAGGGAUCUCAAACGCGGGAGUGGAGCCACGUCACCCGAGGGGCGAAAAUAUCCGCGCUCGGGGCCUAUGCGGCAGCCACGUGUCGAUUUCUGAGUCGGACGUCGAGGCCCCGGCGAGUCGCGGAGACCCCGUACGAGGACCCCACUGAAAUGACCAAAAUGUCCUCUCACACUCACGGUGCGGCACGGCAGUACCAGUACGGCGGGAGAGGUCGAGGGUAAUAUCGGUAAUUCGGAGGAUAAAGGGAGGACGAAGCUUCCGAUGGAGGCGUUAUCCUUGUUUCCGAUUUCUUUUCGCGUUUUUGCCCAAACUACACAAACCAAAACGAUCGAAAGCAAAAUUAGAGAGAGAGAGAGAGAGAGAGAGGUGAGAGGACGGAGAUGAAGAAGUGUGAGCUGUGCGAUGGGGUGGCGAGGAUGUACUGCGACUCGGACGAAGCGCAUCUGUGCGGGGGCUGCGACGCGAAGGUGCACGGCGCCAACUUCCUCGUGGCGCGCCACACGCGCGCGCUCCUCUGCCGCACGUGCCAGUCGCCGACGCCGUGGCGCGCGGCGGGGGCGCGCCUCGGCCCCGCGGUGUCCGUGUGCGAGCGGUGCCUCAUAAGAGGCAGAGGCGGUGGGGGAGGCGGAGGAGGAGGGGGCGAGGAGGGAGCGGAGGAGAGAGGAGGCGAGGUCGAGGAAGCGGCGGAGGAGGUGACGGAGGAGGAGGGGGAAAACCAGGUGGUGCCGUGGGCGCUCACGCCGCCGCCGCCGCCGCUGACGGAGGAGACGAGCUCGUCCUCGAUCAGCGACGCGGGUGGGGAGGGGGACGAGGAGAGCACUCGGAUUUGUAAUCAUAGGUCGACGAACAAACGGAUGAGGCAUUGCUCAGAUCUCGAUUCGCAGGUAACGUUAUAGCAUUCGAUCGAUUCAUCUCUUGUCUUCGUUCUAGUUUUGCCCUAGUUUCUGGGGAUCGGAUCCGUCGGUGAUUAUUGAUUUGUUGUAGAUCGUUAGUUUUAAUGCUUGCAUUUUUGGAUCUAAUUUCUAGGGUUUGUUUCCUAUUGCUUGAUUUCAUUAUUUUCGACUUACUCUUGUAACUAUUCGAAAAUUGUGCAAAUUCUUUUUCUCUCCUAUAAAACAAUUUUUUUGUAAAAAAAAGUUCUAAAAACUGAGGUCUAAGUAACUAUUUGUUUUUUAGUAGCGGUUUAUUUCUUUCCAUAAUUGCCUAGGACGAUUAUUACAUUUUUUUUAUUUUAUCCAUAAAUAAUUGCAAUUUUAUUAGUUUCAUCGAUGUAUUUGAUGAUCCAACGGCUCAGACUCACUCUGCAGGACGAUCUUCUCCCCUCGUCCUCAUCAUCGCACCGUUCUCCGCCGUUGAUCUCGGGUGAAUCUACAGCGGAGGACGAGGCCACGUCACUCGCCGACCCCCUUCUCCGGCGACGACCCUCAAAACACCGUGAGAGGACGACGACCCCGGAUCAACCCGGCUCUAAGCCGAUCUCCACCGUUAACGUCGCCCAAAGCGUUGUGUACUGUCGAGAAAUCUCAGCCGUUGAUUUUGCGUCCUCCCGCUCUCAACACCCUCCGAUCUAAGUGAGUCCUCUUGGACCUUAUUCGUUCCUAGCAAACGUUAUUAUGACCUUACUUUGUUUCAUUUACUUUUAUUUUGUGGUGGUGCUUGAAUGGUGUGGCUUUGAUUCAUAGGGACCUCCCAAAAAGAUAAAAUAAAAAAAAAACUUUAAAAAGCUACCCUGUGGUAUAAAAUGUUGCUGUCUUAUGAAGUAUAGUAUAUUAAAAUGCUAUAUUUGAAGGCAUAUUAUUUUGAGAUUUGCAUUUUGUGGCUUAGUUAUUACAUGAUUUAUGUAAUAUAACAAAGUUCUUAUUUUUUUUAAACAAAUUCUAAUGGAGAAAAUAAUAUAAAAUCAAAGCAGGCAAAGUAUUGUACUUCAUGUAUGAAUAAUAUAAUUGCUGCUACCCUAAGCCAUCAGGAUUUGUUUUGUAGUUUUUCCGGAGAAAGCUUAAAAAGUAGACCAGAACAAAACUGUAAUUUUCUUAGAACCAUACAGAACCAAACUGCAACUUUUAUUGGUUUUCUAAUUUUCGGAGAACCAUUUAACUGAAGAAUCAAGGUUGCAAAAAAAAAGAUUAUUUUCUUUUGCCUGUUCCAUCAAGAAAUCUGUAUCUAUUCAUUGAAAAUGAAUUACAGAAUCUGAGUCUAAAUCAGAAAACCUCCUGGUGAAUAAAGGGUCGGUUCGGGGAUGGAAAAAGAAGUUUUUGUUCCAUGUUGAAUCAGCAUUUACACGAAAACACUGAUUACUGAGACAUAUACAAAGUAUUUACACCUGUAUUUACUAAGUUGACCAAUCCUACUAUGUCAUAUACGAGCCAGGCAACUUAGAAAUGUAGCAUGCAAUUGUUGACCCGCAUGUCACUCUUUGAUUGGAAUUGGUCUGAUAGACCUGUUCAGUGUCGAUUCUAAUUUUGAUGUAACUAGUAUACUUUCAUAAAUUCAUUCCAAACAGUCACAUGUCCACAUAGUUGGGUUGUGUCGUUAGCAAAGUAGAUAUAGUUUGGUUGGUUGAGAUAAAGAGACGACUCCUUAUUGGUUACCCUUUUGAUUUAGAUCAAGUAAGUGGACUUAAAGCUUUUGCAUUUGGUGGUUUGGAGUUAGUAAGCAUGGAGUUUGACGUCGAUGAAUUAAAAGGAGGAAUCGCUCUCUUUUUCUCCUUUCAUCUUUUUGAAUGGGUCUGCACCAUAUUCUAUCCACUAAUGGGAUAGUAUAAUAAUAAAUCUUUCUUUAAUGCAUGGUAUAAUAAUAAAUCUUUGUUUAAUGUAUUCUUAAUAUAUGGCCCAGCGUGCCGAACGUGGAAGCAAAGCUUAUUUAUACCUUCCGUAUAAGACAUAAACAGCUGUUGCUAAUUUCACUUUCUAUAUAUCUUAAUCGUAGGUUUCCAUGGAGCUUGUGAAAAUAUCAUAUUCAUAGAUCCUUAGGGGACUUUAUUUAUUUAGUUAUUUAUGUGGCUGAGAAUUACGGAUGGCAACUAGCAUUGGUAUUUUAUCUAUUUAGAAAAUUUAUGAAGUUUUAGGUGCUUUUUGUGGAAAAAUGAACUAAAAAGAUACUGUGAGGAAUAUCUUAUUUAGUGAAAUGAAGCAUUAUUCUUUUCAGGGUAUUAUUAACCAGGAAUAUAGGGCAUAUUUUUGUUAGUUGUGUGAUGGUGGUGAUGAGAUAGAUUCGGAGAUCUUUAAAGACUCUAGAGAGAUCUAUAAGUUUUUCUAUCCAGGAGAUUUAUGCGGUGGGCGAAUAACAAUAGUGGCAUCUUUGAUUGCUUGGUUACAAAAUUCCUGGUGUCAAAGCUAGAGAGAGAGAGAGAGAGAGAGAGAGAGAUUGUAGCCUCUAAUAAGGUUUAGAAGUUGACUGGUGUGAUGGUGAUGUGGAUCAUGGGAUGGGAACAAGUCAUCAGUUGAGGUGUUGAGGGAGGAGAUUUUUUUUUUUUUUUAAACUAUUCUUUCCCUAGGUUUAUUAGAUACGAAUGGUGCCAAUUAAGUCGCAUAUGAGGCUGUUGAACUCUUUUCUUUUUUGGUUUUGGCCCUUACUGUAAAGUGGAAAGCAUAAGAGUUGCUUAGUUGAGUCUUAAUUGCUAUCUAUGCUGAUGGAAGGUUGAUCUUCAUGGCCCAUUUUGAUAGUGCGAGGUGAUCGUCGUUGUAGUCGUCAUCUCUCUUUCUUAUCUCUCUUUCUUAUCACUUAAUACUUAAAAACUGUGCAUCCAUGUUUGGACCAAAAGUGUUGAUAUGCACAGAGGAGGGUUUAUUACGGACAAAAUUGAUUUUCAAGUCUAUUCUAUCAAAUAGCACCAAAACAGGCACCAUGGGAGGGUAGAACUGAAAACAAUGAGAGAGAGAUAGUUGCAGUUAAUCUACUGCUAGCAAAAUCUGUAUUAGCUCCGGUGGUCCAAACUCUAUAAUAGUGGUUCCUUUCUACGAGCUCAUACUUCGACUUUUCAUAUUUUACUUCUAUUGCGUGAAAGUUAGUUACACCUGCAAUGAUCCCAUUGGCUUCUUUUCAGAAAGGGCUAGACCCUCAACAUUAGUCACAUAGUCAUAGAGUGGGUGCUACGGAUAACCAUCUUUACAACGUCGAGUCAACCCUCAACUGCUUAAAUGCACUUAACCACCCUGUUUGGCUGCCCCAAAUCCUGGAAUUUCAAAGUACUGGAAUUCUAGUUUUCAUAAAUCUAUUGUUUCAUUGCAUUAGUUAAUGAGAAUUCAAUUCAUUCGGAAGGAUUUGACGGAAUUUCGUAUAAUACAAAUUAUUCUCAUUCAAAUCCAAUGAUUUGAGAUCAGAUUUGGUGAGAAUUCAUUUGCUCUUAGUUAUAUUUUAUCAAUAACCACUUAAUACUCCUCAUUUAAUUAGUUGUAAUAUUAUUUUACUAUAUAGCUGAGUAUAGAAUAAGAAGAGUAAUCACAUUGAAAUGAUUUCGUCUUUUACCAAACAACAAAGUAGAAUAGAAUUUAGUUGAACUCCAAUUUAAUCCAAAUUAAAAAGUUUAUUUCUAAAUUAAUUCGGGUGAGUUCUUCUUAUCUGAAUUCCAUCAAAUUCAAUUCAAAUUUUUGCCAAACAAAAUGAACAUCAAAUAACUAUAUAUUCCCUUAAUGCUUUUUUUUUGUUUUUUAAUUUGUUUCUUACUCAACCUGCUUGCAAAUUCUUGUUGUCGUUGCAGAUGAGGUUGGGGUUGCUGGUAUCAUCAAUAACUGCAGAGAGAAAUACUCAGCUUGGUUUUUUAUUAGAUUCUUAAUCAGAGUCAUCAUUAGGAUAUAUCUCUAUAUGCAUACACCUGACAGAGAAAAUAUUGAUACCAUUUUAUGGAGCAGCUAACCAUAGUAAUACAACCAUUUCUGUGUUUAAUGUAAGAAUAUUCACAAACCUAUUGAUUUUGUUUGUCUGAAUGUGUCAGUCUUCUUGUAUGAAAGAGAUCCUCAGUGUAGAGAAUGUAAUCAGUACCUGUAAUGAAACUUUUAUUUUUCCUUUAUCCCUCAAAUUUCAAUACUUUUAUUUUUUUUGUGAAGUGGAUUACCUGUAGCUUUCAUGUCCUAUAAAUCACAGAGAUUGAUGGCUAGCAUUAAUUAUGUUUCUCUGCAUCUAGUAAUGAAUAUGGAAUCUGAGAAUAAUAUAAUAUAAUCAAUCUUUCCAGAUAAUUUUGCAUAUCACAUUCUGCAUCCAGUCAAUUGAAUACAUCACAAGAUACGGUAGCCAAAUGUUUUGAGAAAGAGAAAAGGCCUUAUAUAGUCCUCUGAGAUUAAAUAGCUCCAAUCUAAAAAAUAAAUAAAAGCUACCUGAGCUGAUACAAGCUUUCCAUGUUUGACGACUUGCUAUGCAUAAACUACAAUACCCUGGGUGUUUCGAUCAAUGUUCUCAUUGAUCGUUCUGUAUGAUCCCAUACUACAUCACACCACUCUGGACAAUGUUCUGUAUAUAUAUAUAUAUAUAUAUAUAUAUNNCUCGCAGGAACUGUAUUAAUUUAAAUAUCAACCAUUUUACAGAUGAUCCAUAAAGCAAAAUUAGACGCAGCAUGAAAUUGUUGGUGGGCUUUUGCUAUCUGCAAAGCUCCCUCCCAACAUUUAUGACCACUAGAGAGCUCUUUAUCUUAAAGUGAGUCUCAGGUUAGCCCUACACUUCAUGAUUCAUGAAAGAUCAAUGUGUUGCCCGCACAGCUGCUCUAGCUCUUCUUCGAGAAGUUGCAAUAACUUCGCUUUUGUUCGCCGGUACACCCAGCCCUUUGUUGCCGAGUCCCAAUCAAACCUAGAAGGUCCGCUACAUGAAGAGAAGUUUGCAUGCAAUCACUCUUAAGGAAAUGAUAAGAGGAAAAUACUUCCAGGCCAGUGGAAAGUAAGCAACAUAGUAUUCUGGAGUAGAAAAAUAGUAUGUCCACAUGUUCUUGGAAGUGAACAACAUCUUAAUAUAAAGAUCCAAACUAUAUUAAGCAUGACAAAAGCUACAUCUGGUGGAUGAUUAAUCUGAUAAUGGCCUGCUAGGUGUGAUUUCUAUCAUUCCAUCGAAGGGAGGCAAUACCAUAGCUUGUAAUAACAAGUAGAAUUUCCCUACCAUAGCUUGUAAUAACAAGUAGAAUUUCCCUACUCCACUUUGAAAAGUUUAAAGUAAGAAAUUUGCAGAGAUCCCCUGAACUAUAGGCCAAUGUGAAAUAGGCCCCUGAACUUGACGAUGGGGUUGCUGUGGUGUCACAUGCUAGACUUGGUAAUCCCACAGAUUAACCUGUAAAGUGGCGCUCGUAUUACAUACGUUACUGCAUAUGCAGUGCACUCCUUUAAAAACCCUACCUUGACUGCACCAAGUGAUUUGUACAUCAGGACUACCCACCAUCAAACAUAGUAGGUAGCUAUAAGGAUACUACUUCAGCGAUUAGCUAAUUGAACACUAGGACGUCAAAUUCAAUAAGAAGGACGUAGCAAAUUGUUAUUUAAUUGUUCACUGUUCUGUAACUACAUCUCUUUUUUCUUAAAUUAACUUACUAAAUUGUUAUUUAAUUGUUCACUGUUCUGUAACUACAUCUCUUUUUUCUUAAAUUAACUUACUCCAAAAUAAAUACAGUGUCUACAGGACUGAGCAUCUAUUCACAAUUUGAGUUUCGCAAGCAAUAGAUACUGUGAAAGGUUACAAUGUAACAUAAAAUAAAUGGCAAAUGUUAUCUAUCCGCUUUACAGAGUAGCAACCUCAACCACCAACAAAACUUGCAUCAGAAAUCGUUCUAAAAUUAGCUAGAAUCUGAUUCUCAGUUCAGACUAUGAAGCCAUUACAGGAGACGUCAAGGCAACAAUUCGACACGAGAAUAUCCAUCUUCGACCCAACAUAUUGAUUUCAAAGAGUAAGUGAAGCACAUCGUAAAUGCUACCGCACGACAAAAAUAAGAGCUUACCAUAAGUUUUCGUCAAGAACGUACCUCACAGGUGAAGAUAACCAAAUUUGUCGGUUUGGUGUUUGCUUGUUUAUGACAUACGUCCCCAAACUCCCCAGUUUUAAUGUCAAAACAUGAUUCUGCGAGAUGUAUAAUAACCAUACAAUUUAAUCAAACCACACAGUGCAGCUAAUUAUCAAAAAUCGAAGGAUUGCACAUCAUCUUACCCCAUAGUCUACAUCAUAACCAUCCAUUUGAAGGGAGUCACCAUAUUCCUACCAACAGAAAAACAUACAUAGAGAUCAAUGGUGCUUAAACAAAGAAACCUCUCUCAAUUGCGCAUGGAUAACCAAUUAUUUCGCACAAAUGGAGAGGUGUAAUUACUAAUAAUAUCUUCGAUCAAAAUGCCUGCAUCAAAAAGCAAAACAUAUUGUACUUUAAAGCGACAUUGGUAGCUACACAACGAGAAUUACCUCAAAUUUCUCUUGCAAGCUAUGUAUAGUAUCAUCAGCAAGCCUAUGGAACUCCUCCUCUGGCAUCAUAGAUCUGCUACCAAAUUAAAUAUUAUUCAAAUGCCACGCAAAAUCGAACGACACCGCAAAAACUUUUUUUUUUAAAUUCCUAAAAAAGCACAUACAAGUUAUAACAAAGGAAAUAAGAAACAAAAAAUCAAUUAAAAAAAACCCCAUUUUCACUACCAAUCGUACCUUUCAACACUAAUAAUUCCAAAGCAAGCAAACGAAAAAGAAAGAAAGAAAGAAACUCUAACACUUCAACAUGGAAACAGAAAAAAGAUUAAACGUAACCUGGAGAACCAUUCUAUCAACUCACCGAUAAUCGAUUGCGGCGGGGGCCUGCGACUCGUCGAUAUCCGACGCUCGCGAGGAGAACGAAGCCCUCGAAAGAGUUCGCGACGAAUCGAUCCAAUGCGAAGCCCUAGAAGGGGCGACGAGGGCUCCAUCUCCGCCGACGCGCGGAGCUGUGGAAGCUUCGCGAAGUUGAGGGGCUCCGAGAAGAGUAGAGGAGGAGGAGGAGAAGAGAGGAGGAGAAGAGCGAAACCUCGCGAGUAAUUGGCGUCGGAUUAGAAGCUUCGAGAAGGAGGAACCCGCCAUCGUCGUCCGUACCCUGAAGAAAGAGAGCGAGAAAAAAAAGAGGAUCUUUAACAAGGAAGGUAAAAAUGAACAGGGACCCCCUCAACUAUAUAUAAAUUUGACAUAAAUCACUCUACAUUUUUUUUAAAAAAAAAAAUAAAUUAUUUUUGCCUGACAAAAUUUAGUUGGUGUUUAAAUUUAUCAAUUUUGAAUGGCGUUUUUUAGCUGAUAAAGUUAUUGAUUUUAACGAACUUCUAGUUUAAUUCAGAAUAUAAUUUAAAUCAUAUUAUUUAAAAGUUAAAGAGGACGUACAGAGUUUAUUCGAUACUCUUUGUAUGAAAAAAUGUUAAAGUUGGAGAGGCCAUUAUACAUAAGAGCUUAAAUUAUACUACCUUCAAAGUUGAAAACAAAAGAUCUAAUUUAAUGCUUCACCGAAAAAAAUAGAAAAAAGAAAAAGGGAAGGGUUUGUAAGGAUCGUUUUAAGGAAGAAGUAGCAUGAGCAAUAAUCAUCCGAGGGUGUCUAAUUUCAGAUCCUCUCGAGCCCAGUGAACUCGGCCAAACUAAGCCCAGCCCAACCCACAAAAGCGCGGGUCAAAUUUGCUCGGAUCUGACUAUUCGUGCUUCUUCGAACAGAUUUACAGAAACAACAUUUCUAUAGACACUCCGGCUAAACCAAACACGGCCUAAUCUACCAGAAUAGCAAAGAUUCACAAAUGAGCCAAAAGCACUGCACAUGCCACAAAAUCCUAUAAAGGCCGAGAAUAAAACACAAGUUCUUCACUUGCCACUUCAAGUUCAUGUCCAUAAAGCAAGAACGAAGAAACAUUUAGAGGUAAAACAGAUGGUAUCCCGCAAAUGGGGCGAGGUUUUCAAACAUCGUAAAAUGUAUUGACAAAGCAAAGCAAUAAGAACUUUGGAUGCACCACCAACGAACUAAAAGACAAAGAAGAUACUCAUCAACCAUCGAAUUUAUGACAGAGCGAGAGUUGGCAAGGUAAAAUGGAGGAUAAAACUAAAAAGUAGCACAAUUCUUCAAGUAAACAGCAGAGUCCCCCCACAGAAGCCUCAGCUAGUUUAUCCACCACCUCCAUCUGAUCAUUACAUUCUUUUACUUCCUGCGACAAACAAAAAAGAACAAGUAAAAUAUAAAAUAAAAUUGUAGAGCACGAACCACAGCAAAUUAGUCAAAACACCAGUUGCGCUAAAGAAUUUUUUUUUUUUAAAUGAGAGAGAGAACAAUCAAUAACUUUGAACAGUCAGAAACAAAGUAGAAUAAAAAAGACUGCGUGAAACUGAAAACAAUAUGCAGGAUGCAGCUUCAUGCCACAUUACGGAAGGCAAUUGAAAAGGAAAGGGGGGAGUAAGUUAAUCAACUGGAAAGCUUUAUAAUCCAAAUUAUGAGUUUUAGCAAACAAUAUGAUUAUAGGCAAGAGCAAAGCCACAUGGGAGGCAGAAGUAUUGUUAUUUACUUCAGACAAACAAAGUAACGACGACGUAGGCAACUAAAAUGAUGAGUACUGAACAGACAAACUACUAGUCUAAUAAUGUGAAAAGUAACAGGAAUUUUGAACUAGCAAGAUGUAGUCGGAAUCAUAAUCCUAGGGAUACGCUAGGUAUUAUUUAUGUUUUUUGGUUUUGUUUCCUCAAGUGCUUUGCAACUGAAAGCCCUAGGAAUGGACCGCUCCAUUCUUUUUACUGUUGAUCAGUUAGCAAUUUUUUUGUCAGAAAUCUUCUGUUGUCAAACAAACCCCAUAAAAGUAGGGAUUACAAACAAUCCACAAUAGCGAAAAUGAGUAGGGCCACACUAUUUCCCGUUUGCCUAUAAUCGCAAUAUUGCAUGGAGGAAAAAAAAAAAAAAAAAGCGAAAUAAUCUAAAUUAACCCAAAAAAAUUUUGACCCCUGAAAUAUAGUGGUACUGGCAAGAGAAGUUGGUUGUUAGACAUGUCUAGCAGCAACUGGCAGCUGACAAUAUGAGUACUUUUCUUAAAAACAAAACAUCACUUGACAUGCUACUAACACAUUCUUUUAAUAUUCUCACCUGGAUUGAAGAGGACCAUUGCUGUAACCCUGAAUUCCCAUCAACCAUCUGCAAAAGCCACCACAGUUUAAAAAAGUAAAGGAGCUUUGCCUCAAAUCAUCAGCUAUAAAUGAAAGUUUUGCUUGCUUAGCAAAGUUAAAGCUAACAUUUAUGGCUUCUCUAGGUCUACAAUAAUAAACUUCAGCAUCAAUCACUUGGCUAUUUGCAUCUCAACUAUGUCACCAACAAGCAAAAGCACAAAAAUAAGCCAUUACCAAUACAGCGUAAGUGCAGAUACCAGAGCAUAAUUCAAGAAAUACAGAAGAUAAUAUUCUUAAAUGGCAAAAGUACUUGCAAAAUUUAAGUAAAGCUCCUCAUCCUCUGCAGAUAAACCAGGGGAAAAAACCAAAAAAAAACAGCCUCCAGAAACUCAAUAUCACCUCCCGAAAUUCAUGAUCUUCUCCAAAAGCAAGAGACAAAACAUAUUACCUGCCCAUAUGUAAGUAAUAAGUACACUAUGAAACAAGUUAAAUAUAUCUGGUCACAACAAUGUCUAAUGUCUCAUCUAGUCACUAAAAUUCAUACCUAACUCUUUUACUUACUACCUAGUUUUAUCACAGCAAAGUAGCUUUUAGUACCAACAGAAUAAACAUGGGCAUAAUUUUUUGUAAUAAAAGCCUAGAGACUACCCAGCACAGCACUAAGCUCCGAUCAAUAGAGCAACUCCAGGGAAAUCACUCUAGAUUUGUAACUAAAAUCUUUUUACAUAUGAAAAGUGCAUAAUGCCAACUAUAAUUUUCCGGGGAAAAUAGGAAAAUAUAGGCGAGAAGGGACAAGAAACUCUCCGGUAUUCCUCUACCCUCAUGCUAGCUUUGUAGUCUGACACCCAGAACUCAAAUGUAAAAUUGAGAAACCAAAUUACUCAAACUUUCCAACUAAGAAGAUUAGCAGCACUUCCUAAAUUAAUCAGAAAUUCAAGUUCCUCAAAGUCCCCAGAACUUGCUAAGCAGACUUUGCAGCAAUACUUAAUUAAUCAAAGAUCAAUUCUCUCAAAAGUCCAGUAAAACUUGAAAUAUGCUAGUAAUAUUUUGACAACGAACAUGACGCAUCAAAACAGACUCAACUUUAGAGAGAACCAAGUACAUUGUUGUACUUGCACAUUCAACUAAUGCACAGAAACCGCAUUUUAAAUUUUCAGCAGAAAUAUUAAAAUCUAUUCUCAGCUAAUGGCCCUAGAAAAUCCUAAUCAAGAACCACCCAUGUUUCAGCUAAUUGGGCUAAACUAAUUAAUUUGAUCUUUUGAGAUAAAUAAAGACCACAUGGACGUAAACUAAUUAAUUUGAUCUUUUGAGACAAAUAAAGACCACAUGGACGUCCUUAUUUGCAUUAAUCUUGAUCUUAAAUUGACGACUCAUGCCAGUUUUUCGUGCUUCUAUCCAUAACUCCUCCAGAUACUUACUAGAUAAAGGAAAAUUUCAGAUUCUCAGCACUUCAUACAUAGAUCCACAAGUGCUGCUUUAAUCAUUUUGCUAAUAAAAAAAAGGAUAUUUUGCUGACGCGACUCACCAAAGACACAACAUGAUGCAAGCAAUGAUUUUUUUUUUUUUUUUUUUUUUUUUUUUUUUUUUGCUACACAUCUCCUAAGACCAUCGUCACCAACACUACUGCAUUCCAACAAAACAAAGAAAAGACAACGUAGAAAGGAACCAAUUUAUAAACACAGAGUGUGCCUGGUUAAUGUGUAGAUAUCCACUGGUAACCUAUUCAGAUCUGAGCCUAUUGGUAAUAAAAACACCUGGACAACCCUUAAUUUGCAUAAAACAUCCUAAUCAUAAACAAUGAAACUCCUAAUUAGGUAUCCUGUUCCAAAACUCAUACUUAGAACUGUGGGAAGGAAACCAAAAUAAAAGCUUAUUGCUCCAAUUUGCCCAUGUAUGCUUUACUUCUCUCUAACAAUCACCACACUAUAACAAAUCAGGAGAUCAUUUGCAUCCAAAAGACCGAGUAGCACGUUCGUGCAAAGUAAGAUCAUUUAACAAGAUCGUAUUAUUCACGAUAGCUUCUCCAGUCUCUUCCAACAUCAUGAUCAGAUCAGUAUCAAACAUCACACGAAAUUAAUUCUACCCAAAGCAACACCAGAUCAACAUAAAAAGAUCGCAUGAAUUGAGGGGAAAUUUUGAGAGAGAGAGAGAGAGAGAGCCUGAACCUUUAUGCUCUUCGGAGACAUCCUCCUCCUCCGGCACCGGAUGCAGCUCAACGUCCGUCUUCUUGCUCCCAACCGCAGCGGCAGAGCUCCCAUCCGCCGUCCCGGACGCGGGCCCAACCCCGUCAUCGGGGAAGCGCACGACCACGACGGGGCAGACGCAGUGGUGGACGCAGUAGUCGCUGACGCUCCCGAGCCUCGCCUUGUUGGCCUUGCGCGACGCCCCGAAGCCCCUGCUCCCCAUGAUCACCGCGCUAAGCCCUAGGCGCUCCACCUCCAAGCAGAGCCUCUCCUUCAUGUCGUGGUCCUUCACGAUGUGGAUCUUGAACGGGAACUGCCCGUCCACGAGAGGCUGCGCCAGGUCCUGCGCCUUGGAGACGGUAAACGCGUCGAAGUCGUCCUCGAGCUUCUGCUGCGACUCCUCGGAGUCGGCGUCUGCGGCGGCGGCCGCGGCGGAGACGGAGUGGUCGAUGGAGCCCCAAUCGGCGCCGUAGAGGACGGAGGUGGGGCGGACGUGGAGGAGGAUCACGGCGUCGCCGGGGCGGAGGUAGUUUUGCACCGCCCACUUCACGGCGUAGGCGCUCUCGUCGCUGAGGUCGACGGCGAUGGCGAUGCGGCGGUGGGACGCGGCGGAGGGGUUCGCCGCCGCCGCCGAGGAGAAGAAGAAGCGCGGCGACGAGGUCUGGAUCGCCGCCGCCGCCGCCGGAGGCGGCGCCUUCACCGGAGGAGGCGCCGGAUCUUGAAGUUCGGGCUUCAUGUGAGCUUCCAUGGCGGUCUAGGGUUUCUAGGGUUUUUUCCCCCCUUUUUUGGAGCGAAUUCCUGGUUAAUGUCUUCUUCUAUUUUUUUUUUUACUUAUUUUCUCAGUGCUACUGUGAGGAGACGAGGAGUAGCAUGGUUUCGGCCGUUACACAGAGAAAGGGGCGUAUAAAAUGAUGUAUUUGAGAGUGAGAAUAAACAAUAAGGAAGCUACGGGAAGGACGGUGGAUACUUUCGUAGUAUUUUUUAGGGAAAACUUCAAAAAACCCCCCCGUAGUUUCUUGCAUUCUCACUUUGCUACCCUGUGGUUUAAAACGUAUCAAUUUAUCCCCUUGUGGUUUUAUUUUUAUCUUUUCGGAAGCUUUUUCGUUAAUAUUUCGUUAAAUUAUAUACAAAAAACUUCAGAUAAUCAUCUAAAUUUAUCGAAUAGUCACUUUAGUAUCCUUUAAUUUUAACUUUGUUACUGAUUUUAAAAAAUAAUAAUAAUAAAAUUGAUAACAAAAAGAUAAAAACGAAACCACAGGGGGGUAAAUUGAUACGUUUUAAACCACAGCCCACAGGGUAGCAAAGUGAGAAUGCACGAAACCACAAGGGGUGGUUUUUGAAGUUUUCCCUAUUUUUUAAGAUGUUUACUUAAUUUAUUCUAAGUUUAUUUUUAAUUCUCAUCGAGUUAAACAAAAACUAAUUAAUUUAAAGAUAUGGUUCUUUUCCCCUCCCUACUGAAAAUGAAUUCCACAUAUCUUAGGAUUUAUUCAAAAAGAUAGCUCGCUAUCUAUUUCGUUUAUUUUUUAAAAAGGUAAAUUUUAACCGAAUAAUAUGAAUCAAUUUAAUUCGAAUUUGAAAUUUCGAAUACCAACUAUCAAACCUUUUGCAACUUGCGUUAGGAACGUCGAUAUUUUUCUUAAAAUCUUACUAAUAUUUUUUUAUUGCAACAUCUGUUAAAUUAAGAAUAAAUAUUAUUUUAGCUUUCUAUCGUAAUAAUUAUUUUUAUAUUGUACUAUUUAAUUUGUUUGGACAAUUUUUUUGAGAGAAAGAUAAUAUAUUACCCGUUUUGUUUAUUUUGUUUUAAAAAUAAAUUUAGUUAGAAACAUAAAAUAUAAUUUCUCUUAUUCUAAAAAAAUGUAUAUUUAGAUUUUUUAACAUUCAGCUAGUAUAUAUUGACUAGUUUUUAGUUUUUAUGGCGCUGAGAAAUCAAAAGAUUCAAGAAAAUUUUAGAAUUUAAAAGCGGAAGUUUUAAGCUACUAAGUCAAACGUUCUUUGAGACUUGUAGAAGUACUUAAUUUUUUUUUUAAAAAAAAAAAACUAAAUCCAGUGAAAGAUAAGUUAGAAUAUAUGUCUAAAUGGACCCUAGUGUCAACUCUUCUUUGUUUUUGUUUCAGCAAUUAAUAUAUCCCAAUUAUUGAUGUAAAAAGAUCCAUUGCUUGAUCAAUAAGGUAAGGUUUCAGUCAUGGCCAAUAAGGUGUGAAAGGUUGGAUGACCUGGUAACAAGAUCGCCCCUACUUUAGGCUCUAGCCCAGAUCAAUCCCUUCUCGGGCCCAAAGCCCAAGAACAUUGUUAGAAAUUAUAGAUGGAUUGGGCCCAUUUUUAAAAUUGGGCCCAAUAGCAUUUUCCUGGGCAGGUCGUAGAAAUAGGUCCAUAAAAUUUUUUAUUUAUUAACAUCACCUCAACUUUUGCCUAUUUCGCUUUGGUCCUCUUCUCCAAAUUUCAUUAUUUUUAACCGGAAUUCUAUCUUAUUUCUUCUUUGCUUUUAUUUUAUUUUUUCCCCCUCACACUCCAACCAAAGAAGUUUGGCUUUGUUGUGAGACUACAGGACUUGGUUGGAUGCUAGACAAGAGUUAACUUAUCUAAUACAUCUCCUUUUACAUACAAAAAAGACUAUUUGUUAUAUCUGUUAGGCAAAAAAAAAAAAAAAAGAAGAAGAAAAAAAAAAGAGAGGAAGGGAGACGAAUAUCUAUUGUAUAAUCUCUACUGCAUAUAUUUCUCAUCCUCAGUGCAACGUAUACUGAUGUUUCAGUUGAAGUCAUUAUUUGUAUGCCCCUUGAGAGCUCUCACUUGCACCCUGCUCUGCAACAGAUGACACAUCAUCAUACAUGUGUGAGAUUUGAUCCUCCAUUAAGUGCUGAAGAGACCGCGGAAUCCGCGGCACAUUCACCUCCAAAGCCCCCUCUAAGAUUUGCACCACCUGCCCCAUUGUUGGCCUGUCCAUCUCUGCAUCCUGAAUACACCAACAAGCCACUCUAGAAGCCCUUUUCACCUCCUCCAAAUCGGCUUCGCCACCCAAUCUGCUAUCCAACAAACACUUCUCGUCGCCCUCGAUCACCUUUUGCGCGGCCCAUGAAGGAUAGUAGAACUUACUGCCCUCCUCAAAGUACGUACUAUUCCUCUGACCGGAUAUUAUCUCAAAAAGCAUCAUUCCAAAGCUAUAAACAUCCACUUUUGGGCUAAUUGGUAAACCGGAAAUCCAUUCGGGAGCUAGGUACCCAAUUGUCCCCCUCAUCGUUGUUAAGACUCGGCUAAAAUCUCGACCGAUAAGCUUGGCCAUGCCAAAGUCUGCAACCUUUGCUUUGAAGUCGGCAUCCAAAAGUAUGUUAUCUGGCUUUAUGUCGCAGUGUAUGAUGCAUUCUCGGCACUUCUCGUGAAGGUACGCUAAUCCUCUCGCAAUUCCAAGAACUAUUCUAUGGCGCAUGUUCCAGCUUAGCAUGAUAGCAGAGUCCUUUUUAAAUAGAACGGAAUCUAGGGAUCCGUUCGGCAUGAACUCGUAGACCAGAAGCCUCUGGCUUCUCUCACAGCAGAAGCCGCGGAGGCGGAGAAGAUUAAUGUGCUGGAUGGCUCCAAGAGUAAGCACCUCGGCCUGGAACUGCUUUUCGCCUUGUCUGGAUCCCUCGAGCUUCUUCACAGCUACUUGUGUCGAGUCCGGAAGUGCUCCUUUGAAUACCGAGCCAAAGCCGCCGCCACCAAGCUUCUCUGAGAAGUUCUUCGUGGCGUGCCGUAAAUCACCAUACGAGAAUGGAAUCAAAGAGCCCUCCACUUUGCUCACUAUUUGAGACUUCCUCCAACGUCUGCGUAACCAAAUUAGUCCAAAGAGAACAAUGACUAUAAUACCAAGUAGACCGCCGACUAAGCUUACUGUAACUACAGUUUUUACUUUGUGUGAAUUGUUUGUACUAGGAAGAUCAGCUGCAGCGAGUCGGAGAUAAAGCAUACCACCUCCUUGAUCACCACUGUAUAACUGCUGAAGAUUUUGAAGAUUGGCCGUCCAGAUCAAACAACUGGUAUCAAAAGAAUAAGCACUACAAGAGCAAUUGUUCAAACAAGCCAUUUCACACUCCUCAGCAUUUCUAACCUUUAAUUUCUCCCCAUUACUCGGCAAUCUCAUAUUAAUCAUCAUAAAAAACCCAUCUCUCUCUUCUCCUCCUCCGUUCAAGUUUGAUUUAGUCCCACAUUUCAACUGGGUUUUCCUUUUACACCCCGAAUUCCAAUCAUUUAGCUCCCAUUCCUCAUUUAAUACUGGCUCAAACCCCUGGGGGCAUCGGCAAAGGCUCGGGCUUUCCAGGUCGCAAAGCCCAAAAGGUCCACAAAACGAGGGUACAUCACAAUGAGAUAGAGGUUGAGUAAACACUGGCUGCCACUCUUGUCUAUUGCUUAGCCAAAGAAGUUGCUGCCCCAGCCCUGAAGACUCCACCACAAAGCGAGUGAUCACCGAGCUAUCUGUCAUAGUAUACGUAGCAUACUUCCGCUCUCGGUCGUCAAUGAACGUGAAGUUAAACAUAGUAUGUCGUGCAGUUUCUGGAACUGAAGAGAAGUAUUGGCCAUUCCAUAGCCCACCACUCCAAUAUACUUGAGACCCAUUGUAUAGUAGAACAUAUUGGUCUGAUCCAUCUGGGUCCAAGCUUUCAGAGAAAGGACCACGGGCCGGGUUUUCGGGGUUUUCCCAACAAGUGAUGCUUUGAUACUCUCCGGUAAUCUUGUUAAACCCAAGCCAUCCACCCGGCAUCCAAGUAUCGCCCGGAUGGUCGAAGCUCUGCCAUAUGAUCGAUGAAUUCACCUGCAUCGAUAGACGUGACAUUAAUUGUAUUCUAUCUUAUCUUUUUGUGCGUGGCAGUGUGGGUGUAUGUGUGUGAAGAUACCGAUCUACAAUAACAACGAAAAAUAGAAGGACAUAUCUCUUUUCUGCUUAUUAUGUCCUAUUUGAGGGUAAUUAUCUAUUUAACAAUCAAUACUGAUGAGAGAAAGCGAACAUUUAAUACUUGAAUGUCGUUCAUUCCUUCUUAUUUAAUGGCUUAGAUUUACUUUUUAUUUAGUACGAUUUUUUCUUACAGAUAAUAUACUAAUGUCUUCUAUUAAAUUUAAAUAUAUAAAUGCUACAUUAGCUAAAUUAAUUGGCUAUCGCCUACCUACACGUACCCAAUGUAUACUUUUAUAUACCACACCUUUAAAAAGCUCAUGAAUUUAAAUUAGAUUUCAAUUCAUAUUUUAUGACAUUAAAAAGACUUACAAAAUUCAUAAAUAUAACGGUGUCUCUAUUAUAUAUUUUGAGCAUCUACUUACAAAAUCCAUCACCUUCUUUUUAUGUUGUUGAUUUUCUGUUCAUUUAAUGUCUAAAUAUUAAUAUAUAAUUUUUUAAAAAAUAAAUGUUAAAUAUUGAAUAUGUGUAUGAAACAUGCACAUUGGGUAUAGAUAAAAGCUUAUCAAAAUAUGGGCAACAAAGCCUACACAUCAAAUCAGAUUGACUCACCUUUUAUCUCGAUAGAAUUCAAAAUUUUCCCAAAAUCUAUUGUUAUAUACAUGUAUAUAUCUCAUGUUGCUAUUCCUAAAAAUUUUAAAUUUUUAAAAUUUUAAUAGUGAAUGACAAUUCAACUUAAUAAAAAAGUCUUUUGAGGGUAUAAAAUCAUUAAAAUACUUCCCCAAAUUAAAUCCAAAGGUUUUUGAAAAUCCGACCCAAAUCUAACCCGUUGACAUCGCUAACCUUUGGUCCCUAACCAUACUUUUUUUUUUACGAGUAAUUUUAACCUUUUUAUUUUUUAUGUUUAAAAUUAUGUUUAAAAUAUUUAUUAUCUCUAAUGGUUAAAAUAUUAUUAUAUUUAAAAUGUUUAUUAUCUUUAACCCUUCGUUUGGUUCGGAGUUAAAUAAGAACUAGUUAUUGUAGAGAUAGGUAUAAGUUCAGGAUUAAGUCUGAAAUAGACUAAUUUUGCGUUUGGAUAAAAAUUGAGUUAUUCUCGGAAAUAAAAAAAAUAGCAUUUGGAUAGAUAAGAUGGAAUAAGAAGAAUAGUGGGCAGUUAUAAUUAAAUAGAAAAUAAUGAUAUUNNNNNNNNNNNNNNNNNNNNNNNNNNNNNNNNNNNNNNNNNNNNNNNNNNNNNNNNNNNNNNNNNNNNNCUAUAUUUUUAAAUCUCAAAUUUAAAAAUUUAAAGUUAUAAAUUUCAAAUUUAUAAUUUAAAAUCAAAUCUAAAUUUAGAAAUAUAAAAUGUCAAAUUUAAAAUUUAAAUAAUUAAAAAUAAAAAUUUAAAAUUUAAAAUUAUAAAUAUUAAUUUUAAACUUAUAAAAUUUAAAAUUUAAAAUUUAAAAUUUAAAAUUUAAAAAUUAAAAUUAAAUUUAAAAAUUAAAUAGGGGUGGAAUUAGCUAAUCCCACCUCUAUUCCAGAGGUGGGUUGGGGUUAGCUAACCCCAGCCUUAUAAAUAAGUGUUUGGGGAUUAAGGGGGGAUAACCCCUUAUCCCCCCUCUUAACCCCCAACCAAACACCACCUAACGGUUUAAAAUUAUUCUUAAUUUUAUUCACUUCAAAGGGUUAAACCAAGCCGCGUAAUAGAUUGAGCUACAGUUUGACUAGUCAAAUCAGUCAAUUCAAUCUGAUUUUUAAAUUAUCGAUACUAACUUAAUAUACUGUUUAAAUCAUUGAUACUAACCCAAAACUUCUAUAUAUUGUUUAAAAUGCAUCAGAUUCGAAUGCAGGUUUUCAAAGGGUUCGGGUUCGAAUUUUGAAAAUCUGGCUCGAAUCUAACCUGUUGACAUCGCUAACCAUUAGUCCCUAAUGAUUACUUUUUUUUACCACUAAGCUUAACGUUUUUAAUUUUUACGUUUAAAUGUUUAUUAUCUCUGAUAGUUUAAAUGUCAUUAUGUUUUAAAACUUUUAUUAUCUCUAAAAAUUCAAAACUGUUCUCAACCUUUUUCAGUUCAAAGGAUUGAGCCAAACAACUUGGUACACUAGAUUACAGUCAGACCGGUCGAACUAGUCGGUUCAAUCUAAUUUUUAAAUCAUUGAUACUAAGUUAAUUAAAAUGAAUAAUAAUAGUUAGGAAGCUAAUUGUAAACUAAAAGAUAAGGAACUAAAAUUUUAAAAAUUGAUUGAAAACUGAAAAAGUUUAAAGGUAAAAAUCAAAACCAACUUAACAAAUCAAAUCAAUUAGACUGAUCAAAUUGAUAAAAUAUAUAAAUAGUCUAGAUUUGUUCCUUAUAGAUUUAUCUAAUUUAUCUACAAUCCUAAUUUUGUUACUUUAUUAAAACUCUAUGAUGAAAAUUUAUUAUAAACUUUAAAAUUUAAAUUAUAUAGUCUAAAUUUAUUUAGUCGUAAGUUUAAAUUGCACCAUACUGUUUAGACUUAUAGGAGAUUUUUAUAUAUUGUUUAGGUUCUAACCUUCAAAUUUAAUUUUAAUUUAUAUUUUAAAUUAUAAUACAUGAUCUCAUUAUUUAAAAAAAUAAAAUUUCACUAUUAAAAUUUGAAUUAAUUUAGCCCGUAUAAUUCUAUUUAUAAAAUUAAGUAGCGAGAGAUUUUAUGGUCUGAGGAGUAAAGAACCUUCAACCCUAAUUCGAUAAUGAGCUUUGAUUAUCAAUUCAAUCCCUCUAAACUACAAAAAGGAGCUUUAAUUAAUCCUUACACUGUCCGUGAGAAUGAGAUUGCUGCUAUCGAGGAGAACUGCUGUAGUGGCGUUGGAGUUUGAGGGGCUCGAACUCGACGACCAAAUCGGAGACUUGGAGCCAUUGAGAAGCACAAGGUUGCCUUGAUCUGAGAUUUUUAGUUCUGCUGAUGAAGUAUCGAAUAUGGGGGCAUCUCUAUUUGCAACCCAGACGAUGGUUUGAGUGGGGAUUUUUUUGUACCAGAUGCCUAUGUAAAAGUUGUUGUUGGAGGUGGAUGGGGAGAAGAAACCCAACUCAAAGUUGCCUUCUUUGGAGAUCAGAGUUUGGUUUCCAGAGAGAGAUUGGCCCAGAGAGAGAGAAUCAGUUGGUAGAGAGAGAUGUGUUUUGAGGGAAAAGAAGAAGAAGAAGAAGAAGAGGAGGAGAAAUGAGCGAUAAAAAGGAGGAAGAGCGAAGCAUGGAUUGCUUUUGCUAUCCAUUUGGGAAUAAAGCAUGCAAAAGAUGGAAACUUUGUUAUCUAUGCAGGAGGGAGAGCUCAAAUAUUGCCUCGUAAUUAUAUGAAGUCGAGAUACUCUUAUAUAGUAUAUAUGAAUACUCUUACACUAGAAAUAUAUUAAUUCUUUACUUAUCGUAUACGCUCAAUUCCGAAAAAGAAAAAAAAAAUUAAUAAAUAAUAAUAGCAUUGAAAUGUGAGAUUGAAAAAAAAUCAACAAAUGAAUGACAUAAAAAGACAUGGAUGCAUGUAUGCGGUAUAUAUAGACAUUAAUUCACCUUUUAUCAAUAAUAAACAAAACACCGAUCCUUCUUCGAAAAAGUGGCAAAGCGCAUGGUAAUUUAUACCAGAGGUCUUAAGUUCGAAUCCUAAUUAAUUCACAUUUCCAGUUAAGUUUAUUUCCAUCUCUCAAAAUAAUAAUAAUAAUAAUACACAAAACAAAAGGACUUAAAUAAAGCUCUUUCAAAAAUUUAUAAAUUGUUAAUAUUAAAUUUGAAAGUUCGAGAAUUAAAAUAAAUUUAUUAAAAAAUUUGAGAAAUUGUGAUGUAAUUUUUUUUAAAAAAAAAAUUAUAAAGAGGCUCGAAGCUUGGACCAGCUGCUGUGGUGGGCGCUUACUGGUCUUGAACUUUGACAUGCUCGAUACGCUGAACAAGCUGUAUUAACUAGAAGUUCCGCCAUAAACCCAUUUGAUCUGAAAGACAUCCAACGGUCCAGAUGAAACAAGUGCUCUUCCCGCACGGUGGGCCCAACGUCUGCUCUCAGAACGACGGGAUUGCGGGCCCCUCAGUACAAAGUAAGCUGAAACCGUCGACGUGGCGACCAACCAUGGGUUUCUUACUCUCUCACCCUCAAAUCACACAACCAAUGAAAGGUAGCCACGUGCAAAGAUGGAGUAUACCACACAGAAACCUUUGUAGAAGAUCUUCAACUUUCAAUGAACGCAUUCAUUGCCCCGUAAGAGGGGGCACCGAAAUUCUAAGCGACCAAGAUAUUUGGCUCAGGAAAAGAAACCACCCACACAUAUAAGCAUCAGUAGGCCCCACGCAUUUGUCAUGCAUCAUUGUAAGUACCUCUACAACAUUGGAGCUUCCAACGUUGGUCUUAUUGCAUGGUCCACACGACGAGAGAGAGAGAAAAAAACUCUCUCUUUAUUCAUUGUCGAGAAAUAAUUCGAUACUUUAUUUUAUAAAAUAUAAAAAAAAAAAUUAACUGUUAAUUAAUGACGGAGGCGCUCUUUACCUUCCUCUCGCUGCUUCGGAUCUUCCUGGUUCAAAAGGCCAUAAAGGUUUGGUUGUUGGGGGUAGUAAUCCAGUGAAAGAUAAGUUUGAAUAUAUGUCUAAAUGGACCUCUAGUUUCAACUCUUCUUUGUUUUUGUUUUAUUAAUUUAAUUAAUACAUUCCAAUUAUUGAUGUAAAAAGAUCCAUUGCUUAGUGAUCAGGUUUCAGUCAUGGGCUCAUGGCUAAUCAGGUGGCAAGCGUUGGGUGACCUUGUGACAAGAUGGGCCCUACUUUAGGCUCUAGCCCAGAUCAAGCCCUUCUUGGGCCCAAAGCCCAUGAACAUUGUUAGCAGAUAUAGAUGGAUUGGGCCCAUUUUGCUAAUUGGGCCCAAUGCCAUAUUCCUGGGCAGGUCGUAGAAAUAGGUCCAUAAAAUUUUUUAUUUAUUAACAUCACCUCAACUUUUGCCUAUUUUGCUUUCCGCCACUUCUCCAAAUUUCAUUAUUUUUGACCGGAAUUCUAUCUUAUUUCUUCUUUGCUAUUAUAUAUACUAGUGUAGCAGAUAGAUAAUAGAAACACAUUUUUAAAAUUUUAAUAAAAUUUAUAUUUAUAGCUUAUAGGAAGCUAUAUCAUAUUAAGCACAGUCAAUUUGCAUGACUAAAUUCAAUUGUUAAAAAAUAAAAUCAUAGCUAGAAGCAUAUGAAAUACAUAAAUAAUAACUUAACAUUUUUGGCUUAAGAAAAUUUUGGGUGGGGUCUCAGCCUUCAGUCUCUACAUCAUACUUUUUAAUCUACGAAAGGAAUUUUGCCCACAACAGUGUUUACUCAAAAAAAUAGUCAUAAGAUAAAAAUAAAACAAAAAACAUCAAUCUUAAAAAAACUAAUGCUUUUUUGGAGCACUUCUCUUACUCAUCCAAACCUUAUACAUAUUCUUAAUUUUCAGCUGGUAGUUGCUUCCCGCGCCGAGUCACUUCUGGAUUUUCAUUGUAACCUAUGAACAAACACCUCAUCUGCAUCACCAAACUACAAUAUCUAAACCGACACAGUCUUGCCAUCACAUCAACCACAGAAUCCUAAUACUUAAACAAUUUGAUUUACCAAGAAAUUCCUGCGAUUCUUGAAAAGUGAGCUCCCGCGCAACGUCCCGGCGAAGAGGAGGCUAGGACGCCGCUCCCCUCGGCCCAGUUGUGGGCGCGCACGAGCCGCGCAAGGAGGCAGCCGAGGUGGCGACGGUUCACGGCGAGCGAGGGCUCCGGCGCAGACCGGCCCGCGCGAGUACUUUUAUGGGCCACGACUGGACUUUACAGGACGAUACUUUUUGAAGGAGACAUCAUUCUUCGCAUGCUCUUCUUCUGCAUUAUCCUCAUAAUCUUUGUUAACACAAUGAGAUAGAGAGAAGGAGAUGAGUGUGAGGUGAGAGAUUAGAUGAUAAUCUUCUUUUUUGCAUAGAAAAUAACAUGUCAUGCAAAAAAGAGGAGGUGGGAGGAUUAAUGGUGGAGGGGAGUGGAUUGGAGUUACAAAUUAAGCUCACUAAUUGGUUGAAUAUGAUGCAUGUAAUUAAAUGUGGAGAGGUGAAGGGUUGAGUAUUUAGAAGUGGAGAUGAAACGUAAAUAAAAAAAAUGAGAGCUUGCCAAGUCAUUAUUUGAUAUUGGGGAUUCAUAACAUAUCAUGCAAAAGAGGGGAUGGGGGGAUUAAUGGUGGAGGGGAGUGGAUUGGAGUUACAAAUUAAGCUCACUAAUUGGUGAAAUAUGAUGAAUAUAAUUAAAUAUGGAGAGGUGCAGAGUUGAGCAUUUAGAAGUGGAGAUGAAAAGUAAAUUAAAAAAAAUAGGAGCUUGCCACGUCAUCAUUUCAUAUUGGGGAUUCAUAUAAGAGUAUAGAUUUUUUUUCAACUCGCACUUACAACCAAAGAAGUUUGGCUUUGCUGUGAAACUACUGGACUUGUUUGAAUGCUAGACAUGAGUAACUUAUCUAAUGCAACUCCUUUUACAUACAAAAAAGACUAUUUGUUAUCUGCUAGGCAAAAAAUUAAAAAUAAAAAGAGAGAAAGGGAGACGAAGAUCUAUUCUAUAAUCUCUACUGCAUAUAUUUCACAUCCGCAGUGCAACUUAUAUUGAUGUUUCAGUAGACGUCAUUAUUUGUAUGCCCCUUGAGAGCUCUCAGUACUUGCUCCGUGCUCUGCAACAGAUGACACAUCAUCAUACAUGCCAGAGAUCAGAUCCUCCAUUAAGAGCUGAAGAGACCGCGGAAUCCGCGGCACAUUCACCUCCAAAACCCCUUCUAAAAUCUGCACCACCUGCUCCAUUGUUGGCCUGUCCAUCUCUGCAUCCUGAAUACACCAACAAGCCACUCUAGAAGCCCUUUUCACCUCCUCCAAAUCGGCUUCGCCACCCAAUCUGCUAUCCAACAAGCACUUCUCGUCGCCCUCGAUCACUUUUUGCGCGGCCCAUGAAGGAUAGUGGUACUUACUGCCCUCCUCAAAGUACGUACUAUUCCUCCGACCGGAUAUUAUCUCGAAAAGCAUCAUUCCAAAGCUAUAAACAUCCACUUUCGGGCUAAUUGGUAAACCGGAAAUCCACUCGGGAGCUAAAUACCCGAUUGUCCCCCUCAUCGUCGUUAAGACUCGGUUAAAAUCUCGACAGACAAGCUUGGCCAUGCCAAAGUCUGCAACCUUUGCUUUGAAGUCGGCAUCCAAAAGUAUGUUACCUGGCUUUAUGUCGCAGUGUAUGAUGCACUCUCGGCACUUGUCGUGAAGGUACGCUAAUCCCCUUGCAAUUCCAAGAACUAUUCUAUAGCGCAUGUUCCAGCUUAGCAUGAUAUUGGAGUCCAUUUUAAACAAAACGGAAUAUAGGGAUCCGUGCGGCAUGAACUCGUAGACUAGAAGCCUCUGGCUUCUCUCACAGCAGAAGCCGCGGAGGCGGAGAAGAUUAAUGUGUUGGAUGGCUCCAAGAGUAAGCACCUCUGCCUGGAACUGCUUUUCGCCUUGUCUGGAUCCCUCGAGCUUCUUCACAGCUACUUGCGUCGAGUCCGGAAGUGCUCCUUUGAAUACCGAGCCAAAGCUGCCACUGCCAAGCUUCUCUGAGAAGUUCUUCGUGGCGUGCCGUAAAUCGCCGUAUGAGAAUCGAAUCAAAGAGCCCUCCACUUUGCUCACGAUGUGAGACUUCCUCCAACGUCUACAUAACCAAAUUAGUCCAAAGAGAACAAUGACUGUAAUACCAAGUAGACCGCCGACUAAGCUUACUGUAACUGCAGUUUUAACUUUGUGUGAAUUGUUUGUACUAGGAAGAUCAGCUGCAGCGAGUCGGAGAUAAAGUGUACCACCUCCUUGAUCACCACCAUAGAACUGCUGAAGAUUUUGAAGCUUGGCCGUCCAAAUCAAACAACUGGUAUCAAAAGAAUAAGCACUACAAGAGCAAUUGGUCAAACAAGCCAUUUCACACUCCUCAGCACUUCUAACUAUUAAUUUCUCCCCAUUACUCGGCAAUCUCAUAUUAAUCAUCAUAAGAAACCCAUCUCUCUCUUCUUCUUCUCCUCCUCUAUUCAAGCUUGAUUUAGUCCCACAUUUCAACUGGGUUUUCCUUUUACACCCCGAAUUCCAAUCAUUUAGCUCCCAUUCCUCCUUUAAUGCUGGCUCAAAUCCCUGGGGGCAUCGACAAAGGCUCGGGCUUUCCUGGUCGCAAAGCCCAAAAGGUCCACAAACAGAGGGCACAUCACAAUGAGAUAGAGGUUGAGUAAACACUGGUUGCCACUCUUGUCUAUUGCUUAGCCAAAUGAAUAGCUUCCCUUCCCCUGACGAGUCCACCACAAGGCGAGUGAUCAUCGAACUAUCUUCAAUAGUAUACGUAGAAUACUUUCGCUCUCGGUUGUCGACGAAGGUGAAGUUAAACACACUUUGUCGUCCAGUUACCGGAGCUGAAGCGAAGUACUGGCCAUUCCAUAGUCCGACACUCCAAUAUACUUGAGACCCAUUGUAUAGUAGAACUAAUUGGUCUGAUCCAUCUGGGUCCACGCUGUAAGAAAAAGGACCACGGGCGGGGUUUUCGGGGUUUUCCCAACAAGUGAUGCUUUGAUACUCCCCGGUAAUCUUGUUAAACCCGAGCCAUCCACCCGGCAUCCAAGUAUCGGCCGGAUGGUCGAAGCUCUGCCAUACGAUCGAUGAAUUCACCUGCAUCAAUAGACGUGACAUUAAUUGUAUUCUAUCUUGUCUUUUUGUGUGUGGGUGGGUGGGUGUGUGUGUGUGUGUGUGUAAGGAUAGCAAUGUACAAUAACAAUGAAAAAUAGAAGAACAUAUCUCUUUUCUAUUUAUUAUGUCCCAUUUAAGGGUAAUUAUCUAUUUAACAAUCAAUACUAAUCAGAGAGAGCAAUCCUUCUAUACAUUUAAUAUUUGGAUUUCGUUCAUUUAUUCUUAUUCAAUAGCUUAGAUUUAUUUUUUAUUUAGUGGUGAUCUGUAAUAGCAAAUUAUAAGAGAGGUACCGGUUACCAGAUACCUCAAAAAAAGGUAAUUUUUGAAUAGACUAUACUUUAUUUUCAAGAUUACUGAAUUUUAUGGAUUAAACCAAGGGCGUGUUUGGUUUGAAAUCGGAGUCAGAAUCGGAAUCAGAAUCAAAAUAAGCUGGAAUCGAAAUCGAAAUGACUCAUUAUCUAAUUCUGUUUGGUUCAUCACCUGAAUCGGAAUCGGAAUAAAUCAUUUCUAUUGUCGGUGUUUGGUUCAGAUGGAUAUAAAAACGUAAUCAAAUUAAUAUACUAACAUUAUCUUUAUAAUAUAUUAAUUUAAAUUCAAAUUAAAUAUUAAAUAUUAAAAAUUUACAUCAAAAUUUU
RNAcentral lists this long non-coding RNA (60178 nucleotides) under Ananas comosus (pineapple). RNAcentral's name for it is "long non-coding RNA (ACOM_LNC015744)". The stretch from base 15937 to 16018 matches the Rfam family "tRNA". Lineage: Eukaryota; Viridiplantae; Streptophyta; Magnoliopsida; Poales; Bromeliaceae. The record is from RNAcentral.